This 66651-nucleotide long non-coding RNA is filed under the name Lathyrus oleraceus (garden pea). Its description in RNAcentral is "Pisum sativum (pea) long non-coding RNA (PSAT_LNC032210)". The stretch from base 26726 to 26832 matches the Rfam family "Plant small nucleolar RNA R71". Lineage: Eukaryota; Viridiplantae; Streptophyta; Magnoliopsida; Fabales; Fabaceae. The record is from RNAcentral.
UCUCUUUCAAGUCUAUCUCUAGCUUAAUCAACAUCAUAAUAACCUACUAGCUUGUACUCUUUUGAUUUUCUAUAACAAAAGUGAUCGUUGUAUUCGCAAGUUCACGAAUCACGUCAGAGUAAUAUAAAAGAAUAUUGAUCCCAUAGAGACCAAAUCAUCAAUCUAUCGAUUACUAUUGUUACGAUGUUUAUCUAAGGCGGUACAAAUGAGAUAUUGAUGUCGCAAAAUAACAGUAAGUAAAGAAAAUGAUAAAUACAAUGCAUAUAAAGAUAGGCUUGAAUGUAUUUCACGUCAGUUAAACGAUGCUUCGAUUGUCUAAAUAGAACUACUUAUGGGGCAAUAUUUUCUACUCUUGAAAAUAAUCCAUUUAACAGGAACUGUCGCUUUCGCGUAUUCAGAACCGAGUUUACCCUUAAAUUAAGGCCUUUUAUUGUCACUUAUAAAAGGUGCGCAGAACGCUAAAUUAACAGGAACUGUCGCUUUCGCGUAUUCAGAACCGAGUUUACCCUUAAAUUAAGGCCUUUUAUUGUCACUUAUAAAAGGUGCGCAGAACGCUAAAGUAGUAAACCUAUUUUUAAGAAAUAAGACUCGAAAGCUUAACUGAAAAGUGAUUUUGAUUCGGAAAGUUUUACGUAAGGAGUUUCCUGAUUUUAAAUCUAUCAACGCGUCCGAAAACAGUUUCAAAAAUGGUUUUUCCGUAAAGUGAUAAAAAUUCUUAGUUAACUAAGCCAGGGUGCUUUUGUACUCCUUGAGUAGUUAAAAUUAACCAAGUUUGUUUUAGAAAACUCGAAUUAAGAAUCAAAACAGCCCGUAAAGCAUUUCUACAGAUGCAAUAUGUGAAACAUCUCUUUAACCGCGAUCCUUACAUUCUAACCUUUGAAAGAUUUAGUCAGACAUGGUAAUACAAACAAACACAACGAUAUUGAUCAUGACGAAAAGUUGUUUAGAAUGUAAGGCGUAAAGAACAAGUAAAGCGUGUGAAACAAUUAAAACGAGCAAUAAAGAUAAUGGCGAGAAAAUUAAAUAAAGUAAAGACAAUGGAAAGAAAUUAAAUAAAGUAAGACAAUGGCAAGGAAUUAAAAAAAGUUAAGCAUAACAAGGAAUUAAAUAAAGUAAAGCAUGGCAAGUAAAAUAAAAAUGCGAUUAAAUUAGAACCUGCUCCAAACGGAGGCUUUAAAUCUGGUAUAAGGAAGUAAAUAAACCUUUGACUUUGAAAAUAAAGACGACAACAAAAUCAAAGUGCUCCAACUCAAUUACACUAAGGUGCGAUAACCCCUCGAUGUGAAGGAUUACCGCUUUUACAGAUGAUAAUAUAGUCUUAGUGUUGUAAACUAAGUUGGAUGAUUUGGAAAUGAACUAGAACGACCUAUUUAUAGAGGAACUCGGCAACAUGCAAAAGACUAGGAUGCCCUUCAACUUCUCUUUAGUGGGAAUGUGAAAUGCAAAGGUGGCGCCCGCCACCCCUCCAUGGCGCCCGCCAUGUGAGUUAAUGGGGAAGUUUAUGGGGUCGUGGCAGUUUCCUCCUGGUUGAGGGCUGAUGUGUCAUGACUUCUCCUAUAGCGGCCGCCAUGCAGAACGCCAUGAGUAUAAUUUUUGCCGAAAACCCUAAUUUUAUGGUCUUUUUGCUUCGUUUCUUCUAAAAAGGUCCUGAAAGAGGUAAAUACCUUAAAACAACACAAAAGAAAGCAUAGCACAAGAAAAAUUAUAAUAAAGACCUAAAAAACAUGUGAAAUCUGAGUCAAAAACAUGGUGUGAUUCAGUGUGAUCAAAUUCUCCCACACUUAAACCUUUGCUUGUCCUCAAGCAAAACUCUUUAUAGCUCAUGCAAGAAAUACAAUAUCAACCAGAGUUAAUUCAAGGGAAAAAGGGCUUAUAAGUUCAUUCAAGGAAUGUAUCGAUAGGUACUAACGAAUCGAACUAAGGAUAUUGUAGUGACACUUCCCGCAAAUGCGGUCAUAGGCUUCGUUCCUAUACAAAUCAAUUUAUAUCACCCCACCAUACCUAAGCCUUCUUUUCAUCUUCUUCAAGUCCUUUUCAUUCAGGUGCAAUCACAUUAAUCCCGUUAUCCGUACAUACUCAUAGUAAGGUGACCGGUUAGUGACUAUGAUCUUAAGCAUGGGGCUCUGGUACAUAAGUUGGUGUAACCCCUUUAUUUAACCCAAUUGUAGUUGUGGGGGAUUGGAUCGUAAUCCACCCUACCAAGUGCAACACCAUAUACCUCUGAACCAACCAACAAUAGGCAUAUUAUUAUAUAUAUUUUUAUUUUUCUUCUGCAUGUUUCGCAAACCUCUCUAUUUUGCUGGGUUAAUUGACCGUGUGAGAGUCACCUAGCCCAAAAUUUUCAUACAACUAGAGGACAAAGCAAAAAAAAUUAUGAUCAUUCACUUAUUUUCAUUGAUCCCCUACGUAGAGCAUGCUUAAGUCGGACCUGACUAUAAGGAUAAACUACUUAAGGACUUAUUGGAACAAAAAUUAGGGCCACAACAUAUGGGGUAUCGGGAUCGACUCUUAUAAUCAUGAAGCCUACGGUGUCAAGACGAUAUCGAUUUUUAGAAAAAGUUUUCCCAAGUCUUUAACAUCCUGUCAUAAACCUGUCUUAUAGUCUGAAUAUUCAAAAUACAUUGUUUUCUUUGCUCACAAAUUUUUUGGUAAGGCUAAAGAAAUGGGAGAAGUACGGAUACACCACACAGAUGACUCGUCAAACACAUGUUAUUUUAUUGAAAGAAAAGCAUUCAAAAUACAUUGUUUUCUUUGCUCACAAAUUUUUUGGUAAGGCUAAAGAAAUGGGAGAAGUACGGAUACACCACACAGAUGACUCGUCAAACACAUGUUAUUUUAUUGAAAGAAAAGCAAACAACAAAAACACACAAAACAUACUGAAAAUAAAGGAAAGCAAUAAAAAUCUCCUCCCACACUUAAACCGAAUAUUGUCCCCAAUGUUUCGAUAUGAGAUAGGGUAGGCGUAACCUGAAAGAGAGAACUAUGGCUGAUCACUGGUACCGUCACCGCCCUGGUCAGGAUGCCUCGGUCGACUCCUCCUCCUACGAGUACUAAGACCUUCCUGCAGCUGCCUAGAGUGACCUAAGAAAGACCCCUGGUUGGCCUCGAUAAGUGCGAAGUGACGCUCAAUAGCCUGUCGCUGGCGAUGCUGCUCAUUAGUGAUCACAAACAAGGACUCGGUGAUAGUCCGAUGUACUUGCUCACUGCGCUGCUGGGAAGCUACCAUAAAGCUCCUAUUAUCAGAAAAUUAUUGGUUUAUGGUAUUUAGAAUGGCGUCACGCCUUUCUUCCCGAGACAGGUGCUCGCGCCACAUCUCCUCAGUGAUGUAAAAACCGGGAGCGGUACCUGCAAAAUGGUCAGAAGAAGAAGGUGCAGUGUGUGCAGGUGAUGCAGUGUGUGUAGGAAUAUCAUGAGCACAUGACUGGUUGCGCUAGUCAUACUCAUCAUCGGUUCCUUGCCCAUCGUCCAUAGGGACAUUAGGUGGAAAAGGACCGGUAAAAGGUGGAGCAUCGAGAUCAUAUGUCCAGUUCCUUGCAUGUCGCACAUCUGUACGCUAGGAGCAAGGUAAAACAACACUCAGUAUAGCUACACCAUGGAUCAUGAGGUUAUAACCGCCCGCUCUCCGCACCUUGCAUAAUUUCAUAUCCUUCAAAAAUUUCAAGUUAAUGGUGCGGUGAGGGAGCAGUUCUAAGGUAGCUAACUCAGCGUUGAGAUUAAGUGCUCUAGCAAUAGAAGUAAUUAAUCCACCAAAAGACAUGGUUCCUCCUUUUUUCAAAAUGGCGGACAUAUGUGCAAGCAUAAAAGGAACAUGAUUGAUCCUUUGAUUAGUAAGACAAUAAUGUAAAAAUAGCAACUCGCAAGCAUUUACUUUAUUAGAAUUUUCUCGACCAAAAAUAGUACAUGACAAAAGAUAUCGAAAAAUACGGAUGGCCGGGUUAUGAAUAGUGGAGGCUAAGAUUCCUUCAAAAGAAGUGAUAGCCACAUUUGAUAAUCUAUUCCAAAAGUUAAAUGCUUCGAAUGCCCAUUCAGCAUCUAAGGGUGUCUCACAAAUGACACCCUCUCCGUACGGCAUUCCUAACAAAACUGCUAAGGCAUCGGUAGUGUACUCAUAUUCAAUAUUUAAACAUUCGAAAACAUACGGUACCAACCGUGCUAGUAGUGCCAGGAUGAACAGUGUAAAUUAGGGAACUCAAAAAUUCCCUAGUCAGCCUAUCGUAGGUGGGUUCCGUAUUUGCAAAAAUAUCAUGUAAUCCUAAGUUAUCUAGCAUAUGAAAAAUACUAAGGCAUGUCCCUAAAGUAUACAAGCAGUCCUCAUCGACAUACCUGGUAGCGAGAAUUUCUCGUGUUUGCAACUUCUGCAAAAUUUUGCUUUGACGCUCUCCGGGGUUUCCUCCGCGAAGGAUGAUGUUGUCGAAGUCCAUUCCGUCCAUUGAUGGUGAGUGAAGAGAAAAAUGGGUUUUUAUGGUGAGAAAGUGAAAAUGGAAUUUUAGUGGAUUUUUGGUGGAGGAAAUUUAUGGGUGACGUUUAGGAAUGAUAAUGGUUUAGAGUUAGAAUGAUAAAGUUGGGAUUUUUCGUGGACUUCAAUGGAGUUGGAAUGAGGAAAGAAUGAGUUUUGAGAGGUUGAAGAAGGUAAAAAUGGUGAAAUUAGGGAUUUUGUCCCGUUAAAUAUUCAGAUCACAUGGCGUCCGCCAUGAGGCUUAUGGCGCCCGCCAUGAUGCUGGAUUUGGUGUUUGGGCCGACCUUAUUUCUUGUUCUUGGGCUCCACUUUUUCCUUAUUUUACAAAGGGGAUGCACAUAGGAUUCCAUAACAUGUUUUUUGGUUAAGCUUGAUAAAUGAAAAAAUUAAAUUAAAUUAAAUAAAAAGGUAAAGUAAAAUAAAAUAAAAGGAAAUAAAAAGGAAAUAAAAACAUAAUAUAUAUAUAUAUAUAUAUAUAUAUAUAUAUAUAUAUAUAUANNNNNNNNNNNNNNNNNNNNNNNNNNNNNNNNNNNNNNNNNNNNNNNNNNNNNNNNNNNNNNNNNNNNNNNNNNNNNNNNNNNNNNNNNNNNNNNNNNNNNNNNNNNNNNNNNNNNNNNNNNNNNNNNNNNNNNNNNNNNNNNNNNNNNNNNNNNNNNNNNNNNNNNNNNNNNNNNNNNNNNNNNNNNNNNNNNNNNNNNNNNNNNNNNNNNNNNNNNNNNNNNNNNNNNNNNNNNNNNNNNNNNNNNNNNNNNNNNNNNNNNNNNNNNNNNNNNNNNNNNNNNNNNNNNNNNNNNNNNNNNNNNNNNNNNNNNNNNNNNNNNNNNNNNNNNNNNNNNNNNNNNNNNNNNNNNNNNNNNNNNNNNNNNNNNNNNNNNNNNNNNNNNNNNNNNNNNNNNNNNNNNNNNNNNNNNNNNNNNNNNNNNNNNNNNNNNNNNNNNNNNNNNNNNNNNNNNNNNNNNNNNNNNNNNNNNNNNNNNNNNNNNNNNNNNNNNNNNNNNNNNNNNNNNNNNNNNNNNNNNNNNNNNNNNNNNNNNNNNNNNNNNNNNNNNNNNNNNNNNNNNNNNNNNNNNNNNNNNNNNNNNNNNNNNNNNNNNNNNNNNNNNNNNNNNNNNNNNNNNNNNNNNNNNNNNNNNNNNNNNNNNNNNNNNNNNNNNNNNNNNNNNNNNNNNNNNNNNNNNNNNNNNNNNNNNNNNNNNNNNNNNNNNNNNNNNNNNNNNNNNNNNNNNNNNNNNNNNNNNNNNNNNNNNNNNNNNNNNNNNNNNNNNNNNNNNNNNNNNNNNNNNNNNNNNNNNNNNNNNNNNNNNNNNNNNNNNNNNNNNNNNNNNNNNNNNNNNNNNNNNNNNNNNNNNNNNNNNNNNNNNNNNNNNNNNNNNNNNNNNNNNNNNNNNNNNNAUAUAUAUAUAUAUAUAUAUAUAUAUAUAUAUGAAUAGUUAGUAAUAAGUCACGGGUCGAGAGAUGCUAGGAAAGGAAAUGUAAGCAUAAAAUCAACAAGUAAAGUAAGCAUAAAUAAUAAGUCUAAUAAUGGGAAAUAAGUAAAGCAAACGACAUCUCUUGGUCGGUGAUAUUAUCAAUGUCCAGGGAAUAAUGGAGUCUCUGAUAACGCGAAAACACAUCAGAUAUUUGCCUUGAUUUACACUCAAAGAUCAUACCAUUUUAAUUAAUAUCCCGAUUAUUCCGCAAGUAUUCGAGUUGUUUUUGCAGGUAUUUAAAUCUCCAAGCAUUAAUGAGCCAAAUGAAGAAAAGGAAGAAAAAGAAGAAGAAACAGAUGAGAAAGCACAGGAAAAAGCAGAAAACCAGAAAUGCAGAAAUUGUUGAUGUGACGACCGUCAUAAGCUUCAUGACGACCGUCACGACCCAGCCUGUGACGACCGUCACAGGCCCAUGACGAGCGUCACGCGGCCAGAAUUUACGCUUUGAAACAGUCCAUCACAGGCACCCAAACGUGCCUAAAAUAUCUCCAACAUCUUGACUCCCCCGGAUUCCUCAUUCAACCAGUCUUCCUUAAAUUUCUCAACCGCCAAGACCUAAAGGAGCAAUAUAUAAAGGACCAAAGUUGGAAAAUUUGGGGACGCCUACAUCUACACUUACGCUCUACAAUUAAUUUUUACAUCUUUCUAGCUUUUUAGUUAUUUUCUUUUUAGAAACUUUGUUUUCGUUGCCUUAGUUCAUUUGCCAUUCUUUUUUUAGAAUUCCCGUUUUCUCCUUUUCCUUUCCGUUUUCCAGUUAGCCAUAUUAGUAGUUUCCUACAUUGGGGAACUACUACACUUUAUUUAAUUUAGUAGGCAAUUGUAUUGAAGAAGCAGAAUCCUACCGACUUGUGGAGGACUGUUCAAGUACUCGAAGAUUCGUCGUACUCUGUUAAUCCAAUUGCCAGGUUUUUAUUAAAUUAUUAUUAUUGCCUUGUUAUUGUUAUAAUUAUGUCUGCCGCACUAUAAUCUGUUUAUGCUCUGUGUUUGCUUUAUUUAACAUGUCCGACUAAAUUACCAGUAUCGGUAUAUAGCAAUUUAAUUUGAUGGGAUUUAAUAAUAAUCGGUGAAAACUCUUUUUCUCAAACAAUCUUUUAGGCCUAGGUUUUUAAUUUAAAUUUAAUUAACUUUAUCACAAAAGCGUGAGAAGCUAUUUAAUACGGUUUUGCCACGAGAGUGGGAAAUUAACUAUGGUGAGAACCAACAAUCGCGAGAGCGUGAGGCUCGAGCAGGAUAGUAAAAAUUAGGCAUUGAGUUUAAAAACAGCGAGAGCACUUUAAAAGCAAUUAGAACUUAUUUAUUUUCAAAAAGUAAUUUUAACUUCAAAUGGGACAGCGAGAGCGUACAUUAUGACUUAAGCUAUAGGCCUGAAUCAACCCCAUCAACGAGAGUGUGCGAUAAAGCUUUUAAAAUAAAUAUUUUCUACUUGAGAGAUUAUUUUCGGCAUUAAACUAUUUCAAACGGUGACUUGAAUCCUUGACAAUAAUGCGUGCAUACUGAUUUCCUUCCGUCAAUUCUUUCUUAAUAACUAAAUGUUCCCUAAGAUUUUCUAAUUUUGGCCCCUCCGAACUUCUACUUAAUCAUUGCCCCUUAGGUCACAUGGAGUUAGUAACAUUAGUUUGACCAUAGGUCCCGUGGGAUCGAUAUAUUUUAAAACUAAAAUGCGACUGGACCCUGUACACUUGGCAGCAAGGUUACCGCGUAGACUAUAUUUUUAAUAUAUAGGUCACGAACGCAUCAAGUUUUGGCGCCGUUGCCUGGGGAAACCUGUUUUAGUCGGAAUAGUGCGAUUCUUUUCGUUGCACGGUAUAUGACUAAGUAAAAAUAAAACUAAUUUCUCUCCUUAUUCGCUGAUUGUAUGCAAGUACUCGCUCACUGAAGGCGUAACUUAGCACCACCAAGUCACAGAAUUAGAGCGUCUCUUCCUACAGUAAGACGCAGAACUACAGCGAAUAGCAACAAAGAAGUACUGAUAGUUUCCCGAAGUCUUUCCUCUCUCCUAAGCAGAAGAAAAACCAACCAAAUGGGGGGGGGGGCCCCCCCCCUUUGAGAAGUGGGGACCCCAAUAAAUAACCGUCCCCUAAACUCUACGCUACCCUUCCAGACAAGAACCGUCGACACAACAUUGCUUCCCCGCUAUCAUCGGAAACGAUGUCGAGCUGAAACCCUCGAUCUUAACCCUUAGCCGUCCAACAACAUCAAUUUGCGGAAAUAUCCUACGGAUGAUUCCUAAUGAACCCACCUGCCAAAGUUUGUGCAGUAUGCAGAUACUGUAAAGGCAAUUGGUGGUAUCUCAAGAUGCGAUAAGACUGCGCCUUUUUCCUUUCUCACUAAAGACAAAAGCUUAAGGCUUGGUUGCCAUCCUUGCCAUCCAACUCAGUUACAACAUGGGAAAGAACUGAUGAACGUUUCUUUCCCGAUAUUUUCCGCCGAGCAAAACUUCUAUGCUCUGAGAGCUCAAUCAGAUUUCGACAACUAAAAGAUGUGGAUCUUCCUAUACGGGCGAGAGCGUGGAGAGAUAAGNCACUUGCAGUCAAGUACCCGAUAGACUAUAUUUUAUAUAUAGUCACGACAAGCAUCAAGUUUUUGGCGCCGUUGCCGGGGACCUGUUUUAGUCGAAUAGUGCGAUUCUUUCGUUGCACGGUAUAGACUAAGGUAAAAAUAAAAACUAAUUUACUCUCCCUUAUUUCCCUGAUUGUAUGCCAAGUACUCGCUCACAAGGCGAUAACUUAGCACCACCAGUCACAGAAUUAGAGCGUUUCUUAUACGUAAGACGCAGAAUACACGAAUAUCAACAAAAGUACGAUAUUCCCGAUAUCUUCUCUCCUCCUAAAGCAGAAGAAAAACCAACCAUGGCUGAAGAAGGACCAUAUAACCGUCCUCUUAAACUCUACGCUACCCCUUCCCAACAAGAACCUCACAACAACAUUGCUUCCCCCGCUAUCAAUCGAAACGAUUUCGAGCUGAAACCCUCACUAUUACCAGCCGUCCAACAACAUCAAUUUGCGGAAAUCCUACGGAUGAUCCUAAUGAACACCUGACCAAGUUUGUGCAGUAUGCAGAUACUGUAAAGGCAAAUGGUGUAUCUCAAGAUGCGAUAAGACUGCGCCUUUUUCCUUUCUCACUAAGAGACAAAGCUUAGGCUUGGUUGCAAUCCUUGCCAUCCAACUCAGUUACAACAUGGGAAGAACUGAUGAACGUUUUCUUAUCCCGAUAUUUUCCGCCGAGCAAAACUUCUAUGCUGAGAGCUCAAAUCAAUGGAUUUCGACAAAAAGAUGUGGAAUCUCUCUACGAAGCGUGGGAGAGAUACAAGGACAUGAUGAGGAUAUGUCCACAUCACGGUCUCGAAGACUGGGUGAUCAUUCACACAUUUUACAAUGGGCUUCUGUAUAACAAAGGACAUGAUGAGGAUAUGUCCACAUCACGGUCUCGAAGACUGGGUGAUCAUUCACACAUUUUACAAUGGGCUUCUGUAUAACACAAGACUGACAGUAGACGCUGCCGCGGGCGGUGCACUUAUGGAUAAGCCAUACAACGAAGCCUAUCAACUCAUUGCAAACAUGGCCCAGAACCAUUGCCGAUGGGGAGGUGAAAGAACUCCAGUGGAAAAGUCCCAGACAAAGGGUGAAAUGUACGAAAUCAGUAGCAUUGACCAUGUUCAUGCAAAGGUAGAUGCCCUUGUUCAAAAAUUAGACAACUUGACCAUACCACCCGCAGCCACCGUGGCUGCUGUAACUCCAACCUAUGAGUUAUGUGGAAACCCUGGACACACUGCACAAGAAUGUCAAAUAUUAGCAGGAGUCCCAAUCGAUCAAGUGAAUUACACACAAGGAAAUCCCUAUUUGAAUACCUACAUCCCAGGUUGGAAAAACCGUCCUAAUUUCUCGUAUAAGAAUAACAACGCCCUAUAUGCACCUGACCAAGCCCCAACUUUUCCGCCUGGAUAUCAAAAGCCAACUAAUAAUGCUCCUAACAUACCUAGGAAGUCAAAUCUCGAAUUGAUGAUGGAAAGCUUCAUAGCUACCCAAGCUCAGACAAACAAAGACUUCUUGAACCAAAACAUACAUACUAGCGAGCAACUUAAACAACUAGCGAGCAAAGUAGACGCCUUACCACCCACAAUAAAUGCUUGAAACACAAAUUUCACAAGUGCUCAACAUCAAGCUGCUACAUCCGCUCCACUGGAACAUUUCCUGGACAUACGCACUAAUCCAAAAGAAAGCAAUGCCGUUUUACUGCAGGAGAGUGGAAAGAAAUCAGACGGACGCGUAAAUGCAAGACUCCAAAACCCUCCAGUACAGAAACCAGAUAAAACCUCAACUGAGCAGGUGAAUGAACCAAAGGAAACAGAAGAUAAUACCCAAGAGGCCGAAGAGAAAGAGAAACCUUAUGUGCCUCCACCUCCUUAUAAACCACCCAUUCCGUAUCCCCAAAGACUCAAAAGUUCUAAAACUGCGAGUCAAUUUAGGAAAUUUGUUGAACUUUUGAAGCAACUAAACAUUACGAUACCCUUUAAAGAAGCCAUCACACAAAUUCCCUCCUAUGCCAAAUUUCUUAAGGAAAUCCUAUCCAAUAAGAAAAAGAUUAAGGAUGACGAAACAGUUACACUUACUGCCGAAUGUAGCGCAAUAAUCCAAAAUAACAUGCCUCCCAAACUAAAAGACCCAGGUAGUUUCUCCAUACCCUGUGUCAUUGGAAAAUUUGUCAUAGACAAAGCUCAAUGCGAUCUAGGAGCCAGCAUUAGUGUAAUGCCCUUAACCAUUUGUAAAAGGCUCAGUAUGGGAGAAUUAAGACCAACCAAGAUGUCUGUUCAAUUAGCUGACAGCUCAAUCAAAUAUCCUGUCGGUAUACUAGAGAAUGUCCCUGUACGUGUAGGACAAUUUUACAUCCCUACAGACUUCAUAAUUAUGGACAUCAAAGAAGAUGCCAAUACACCUAUUAUACUAGGAAGGCCAUUCUUGGCUACCGCCGGAGCCAUAAUAGACGUAAAGAGAGGUAAGCUGACAUUCGAAGUUAGAGAGGAAAAGGUUGAAUUCAUCUUGACCCAAUUCUUCCAAGCACCAACUAUAGACGACACCUGUUAUCUACUUGAUGUCAUAGACGAGUGCGUGAGAGAGAUGGAGAUGCAAGAAACCACAUACUCUGAUAUAAUGAAAAUCCAAAUCCCUCCAAUCUUUGAAGACGAUAACUGGCAUGAACCAUACCAAAACGAAAGUCUAAGCGAAUGCUUAGCACAUACACCCAACCACAUGCCAUGCCCAAAGAAACCCGACUUGGAAUUAAAAGCACUACCAAAGAACCUAAGAUACGAAUUCCUAGACACUGAACUGAAAAGACCAGUAGUAGUCAACGCUGACUUGGGACAGAUGGAAACUGAGAAAUUACUAGAUGUCCUAAGAAAAUAUCCAACUGCGUUAGGAUAUAACAUCGCCGAUCUAAAAGGAAUAAGUCCUUCUAUCUGUAUGCAUCGUAUCAUGCUGGAGGAAGAUUGUAAAACCACUAGAGAACACCAGAGAAGGAUCAACCUAAUCCUAAGUACGGUAGUCAAGGAUGAAGUAAAGAAGCUACUAGAUGCUGGAAUCAUAUACCCGAUCUCCGAUAGUCAAUGGGUUAGCCCCUUUCAUGUAGUACCCAAGAAAGGGGGUGUUACAGUUGUUAAGAACGAGAAGGGCGAAUCUAUAGCACAAAGAGUUGUGACCGGAAGUAGAAUGUGCAUCGACUAUAGAAAACUAAACAAAGCCACUCAGAAAGAUCAUUUCCCUCUACCCUUCAUUGACCAAAUGCUUGAACGAUUGGCUAAGCAUUCUCACUUCUGCGCUCUAGACGGUUAUUUAGGAUUCUUUCAAAUCCCAAACCAUCCUGACGACCAAGAAAAGACUACCUUCACAUGCCCUUAUGGUACAUUCCCUUACCAAAGAAUUCCAUUUGGACUAUGCAACGCUCCUGCAACAUUUCAAAGAUGCAUGAUGGCAAUCUUCGCCGAUUUUAUAGACGACAUCAUGGAAGUCUUUAUGGACGAUUUUUCUGUUUGUGGGCAGAGUUUUGAAGGAUGUCUAUCAAACCUUGAAAUGGAUCUUCGCCGAUUUUAUAGACGACAUCAUGGAAGUCUUUAUGGACGAUUUUUCUGUUUGUGGGCAGAGUUUUGAAGGAUGUCUAUCAAACCUUGAAAUGGUACUCGAAAGAUGCGUAAAGGUAAACCUAGUUUUAAGCUGGGAGAAAUGUCUUUUCAUGGUUCAACAAGGAAUCAUAUUAGGUCACGUAGUAUCUGACAGAGGAAUUGAAGUAGACAAAGCUAAAAUCGAAAUCAUAGAGAACCUUCAACCUCCGAAAACCGUACGAGAAAUACGAAGCUUUUUAGGACACGCCGGUUUCUACCGACGUUUCAUUAAAGAUUUCUCGAAAAUUACCAAGCCACUUACAGGUUUAUUAAUGAAAGACGCUGAUUUCAUCUUUGAUGAAAAAUGCUUAACAUUGUUCAACCAACUAAAAACAUCUUUAAUCACCACACCCAUAAUCCAACCACCUGACUGGAGAUUACCUUUUGAAAUCAUGUGCGAUGCGAGUGAUUACCCAGUAGGCGCAGUACUAGGACAAAGAAAGGAUAAGAAGCUUCAUGCUAUUUACUAUGUAAGUAGAACACCAGAUCCAACCCAAAUGAACUACGCCACCACUGAAAAAGAACUUCUAGCCGUCGUGUUCGCAUUGGAAAGAUUCCGUUCCGACCUAGUAGGGGCGAAAAUUAUCAUCUAUACCGACCACGCCGCUAUUAGAUAUCUACUAAGUAAGAAGGAUGCCAAACCAAGACUUUUAAGAUGGAUCCUUCUCUUACAAGAAUUUGACUUAGAGAUAAAAGAUAAGAAAGGUACUGAAAAUGUAGUAGCAGACCACUUAUCACAAAUCGAAGGGAAUAAACCUGAACAAAUUCCAAUUAACGAUGAUUUCCCUUACGAACAACUCAUUGCCCAAAUGGAAAGGGAUAUGUCUGAACUAACAUUAAACGAUAUAGAAAUAGAAGAAUUCGUGAAAGAAAUACAUGCGAAUGCAACUCUGCCAUGGUAUGCUGAUUUUGUCAACUACCUAGUCGUCAGAGUACUUCCACCGGACCUAUCUUACCAACAAAAGAAGAAAUUCUUUCACGAUCUAAAACAGUACUACUGGGAUGAACCUUUGCUUUUUAAAAGAGGUACCGACGGUAUUUUCUGUCGAUGUGUUCCUGAGGAUGAAAUAGAUGGUAUAAUCUCUCAUUGCCAUUCCGCUCCCUAUGGAGGGCAUGCAAGUACCUCAAAGACCUGCACUAAGAUCCUGCAAUCAGGCCUCUUUUGGCCUACUCUAUGGAAAGACGUCCAUAACGCGGUUAUAAAAUGUGACCGGUGCCAUCCUGCAAUCAGGCCUCUUUUGGCCUACUCUAUGGAAAGACGUCCAUAACGCGGUUAUAAAAUGUGACCGGUGCCAACGCACUGGCAACAUCUCAAGACGCGAUGAAAUGCCACAAACGGGAAUCUUGGAAGUUGAAGUCUUCGAUGUAUGGGGGAUUGACCUCAUGGGACCAUUCCCACCUUCUUUUGGUAAAAAGUACAUAUUUGUUGCUGUCGACAAUGUUUCAAAAUGGAUUGAGGUUGUAGCUUCUCCAACAAAUGACACACGAGUAGUGAUCAAGUUAUUCAAGAACAUUAUCUUUCCUAGAUUCAGUGUACCAAAACUAGUAGUUAGUGACGGUGGCUCCCACUUCAUAUCGAAUAUAUUUGGAAAACUUCUUCUGAAGUAUGGAGUCUGACACCAUGUAGCAUCACCGUAUCAUCCACAAACUAGCGGGCAAGUCGAAGUCUCGAAUCGAGAAAUUAAAUAAAUUCUAGAGAAGACCGUAGGAAUAUCCAGAAAAGAUUGGUCAUCUAAACUAAACAAAGCUCUGUGGGCCUAUAGGACGGCUUACAAAACCUCAAUAGGAACCACACCCUUUAAACUAGUCUAUGGUAAAUCAUGUCAUCUCCCUGUGGAAUUAGAACACAAAGCCUAUUGGGCAAUUAAAACCCUAAAUAUAAACUAUACUUCCGCGGGCGAGAAACGUAUUCUGGACAUUAACGAAUUAGAAGAGCUGAGACUGGACGCCUACGAGAAUGCCAGGAUCUACAAAGAGCAAACCAAAAGAUGGCAUGACAAACGCAUUUCUAGGAAGGAGUUUAAUGUCGGCGACGUAGUGCUACUAUUCAAUUCAAGACUUAAACUUUUUCCAGGAAAACUCAAAUCUAGGUGGUCCGACCCUUUCGAGAUCACCAAAGUCCUCAAAAGUGGUGCGAUAGAAAUAAAAGGUAGGAAUAGUGACCCUUUUAUAGUAAACAGGCAGCGAUUAAAGCACUAUCAUAAUAUUGAAAAUAGAGACUAUUCGAACAAUCUCAGACUCAUAGAGCUGCCCGCUCAACCCCAAACCUAGUACACCGCGACGCCACUGUCAAAGUUACGAUGUUAAACAAAGUGCUUAGUGGGAGACAACCCACCCUUUUUUUGUUAUCCUUGUUACGAACUAUUUUCCUUCUUUUCUUUUCUUCUUUAUUUUUGCUCCCCUCUUCUUGAAUCUUUGCAGUCAUUCUUUUUGCUUCUAGUUACUAACUUAGACAUAUUGGGUACUGAUAAACAGGAAAAUUACUAACCAGUUAGUUAAUUACUUUCAUCAUGCAACAAAUAGAGACAGCUUUCAGAGGCAGAGUUCAAAGAAGGCGGUAUGAUUAUCUAGCUCGGAAGGAUAUGGCAUUGACCAUAUAUUAUGAUGGACCUACCAUGGAUAAGUUAGGUAUCCAAGAUAACAUCUUAUUUAUGUUUAACCACCUUGGGUGGGAGAAAACAGCCAUUAAGAGACGGUUUGUCACGUACCGUGAACUAACCUUAGAAUUCCUUAACUCCCUAGUAUACGACCCCGAGCAUGGUUACGGACAUAACAAAGGGUUGAUAUCCUUUAGGCUGUUUAGCAUGGACUUCACCUAUAGCCGUCGAGACCUUGCUGACCUCCUAGGAUUUCCUAGUGGCCCUUUCGUCUUUACUACCCGCCAGGAGGAACUAAUCGAUGACAUCGACCUAGAUGACUUUUGGGGUAGCUUAACUGGAGACUCAAACCCUAACCCGAAUGAGAUGCACUCACAAAUGAUCCAUAACCCUGCUAUCCAAUACUUUCAUAAAAUACUGGCCCCCACCCUAUUUGGUAAGGAAGAAAAUAACACCAUCGUGUCCCGCAAUGAACUUUUCAUCUUGCUAUGUGUCGAUCAAGGUCGACAUGUCAAUAUCGUGACAUUCAUGAUGGAGAGAUUUGUUCACCUUGCUAAGAACAAUCGUACCCCAAUAGUAAUAGGUGGCCUAGUAACCAUGAUAGCAGAUGCCAUCGGACUUAGACGCCCACUUUAUGAGCAUGUACCAUUUGGAAACAUCUGACCCAUGGAUAUCGAAUUUUGCUUUGAUCGCAGAAUCAUAGGAAACCUUGGGACAAAUACUUUUGAUUAUUUAAUCAAUAACGAAGUGGUCUGACUACUUACCUUGCCUAACCAUGAGAGAACGUGUGUUCAAAACCACAAUAACUGGCUUUAUGACUUAGAUGAACACCCUAUUGAUCCGCCUUCACCUCCCGAGACACCGCCUAAAUAUGAGUAUAUCAAUGACCCUAUCCAUAUGGAAGAAUCUGACCCUGAAACACCUCCCAACUACUAUAACAUUGAUGAACCGGUUCCUCCAUCAUAUGCUGAUAAUCUUUCCAUGCUUCUUACCCGUCUGAAUGAUUUCCAAGCUGACAUCACAACUGUGAAAGAUGAGAUAAAGAUCAUACGCUUUGAUGUCUUAGGCCUGAUGGAUAUAGUCGUCGAGCAGUUUCAUCACCUGAACGAAGCUGUAGAUGCCUUGGGACAAAACCGUGGCUAAUACUACUGACCACUGAUUUCUCCUACUCGCACUAAGCAAUGAGGACACUGCUUUGUUUUGUGUGGGGAGGGAGCACAUUUAUUUUAUUACUUUUGUUUAAUUACUUUAUUACUUUUGUUUGCUGUGUUAUCGUUACUAUUUUUUUCCUAUGUUACAUUUAAUUUCAAUUUAUUAGUUCAAUUGCUAUUCAUUUAUUUAUGCUUACUUAUUUAUUUAUUUAUUUUUUCAUUCAUGCUUUUAAAUUCAAUUGCUCAGUCAUCAUACUAUAUUGUUAUCAUAUGCUACUGUAAUUAAAAACAAAUGUUGCAACCUUUGAUGAGAAAAUUGAAAAUCAGCGUGUGACGACCGUCACAUAUAGUGUGACGCCCAUCUCACAAAUGUGACGACCGUCACGGAUCCACCACGAUCGUCACACAACAUGCAAAUGACCGUUACGAGCAUCUGACCAUUGCAGACGACCGUUACGCACCCGUUGCGCGUGACGACUGUCACACUCCUGUGACGACCGUCACGAACUCCAGAGAGCUCGCCUAUAAAUGCAGGCGCUCUUCCUCUCUUAUUCCUCAUCAAUCACCACUCUCAUACCAUUCUGCACUCCAUUAUCCAAUUCUUUACAUUUUUUCAAGCGUGUAACUCACAAUAUUCCAUCUCACCCACCAACACCAAAAGUUUCAUACAUCUUAUCAAUGGCCCGUCAAGAAAGAGCUGCUCCCGACCUUUCAACCGUCGUAUUCCGAAAUGGAGAAGCCGGUGAACACCAAAGAGACAACUACCUCAAGUUCUACCAACGCUCAGUUCAAGCUACGAGGUAUGUUGAUAAUGAAUACCUGACGGAGCUAGGACUUUUGGAGGGCGUGGAUUGGAUGCUAAGAAACUCCAGCUUGACGCAACUGUGUACCACACCGCAACUAACCUACGAAGCACUGACCCUUGAAUUUCUGAGUUCCUACACCUAUAUCACACCCCUAGGCGCAACUCAAUUUCUCACCGGAGUCUCCACAUUUAUAACGUUCGGCACCGAGUAUUCCCUAAAUCAAACCCAAAUAGCGAGAAUGCUUGGUUUCCGACAUGGAGAAGGAAUUCACUACUGUAUCCCUGACGGAUGGUCAGAGAUAGCAUUUCAAGUUUGGCACAACCUCACCAACAUGAACGCCACGAGUAGGGAUACGCUUAACGCAACAUAUAUUCACAACCCAGCCAUUAGAUACUUCCAUCGAGUCCUGGGGCAGGCAAUUUUUGGAAGAGUCAGCAAUCAUAAGGUAAACUCCAAGGAACUUUUCCUUCUUCACUGUGUAUUUUCCCCAAUUGCGUUCAAUGUCACUCCUUUCCUACUAGCCAACAUCCAGGAUGCGUGCAUGAGAGGCAGCCAGGCGUUUUAUUUUGGGGGAAUCAUCACCUCCAUAGCACUAGGCUUGAAUUUGGGAGAUAGGCUAGCCAACUUACCAGCCUUGCAGGCAAAAUUCCUCGACAUCGACUACUGUCGUGCUUCACACCUGAUCAAAGCAAGAGACAACGAGAAGUACCAUCCUGUUGUCAGAAACAAGGUAUUUCGAAGCAUCAUCAUACCAAACAGAAACCGAACAGAUUCGAAAGAUAUGGCAAAUUGGAUUUUUGAUCUGGAUGCCCCCGAGGCAAAUGAAGGAAAUCUUGGUAAUGGAGCAGAUGAAGUCGAGGAGGAGCUUGACCGAGGCAUGCCUCAACCACCUCAAGAGCACGCUGCAGAGACUUCUUCCCGAGGACAACAGAGAAGCGAACGAAGACCCGCCUCCAUGGAAAACAUCUACGCCGAGAUGCUGCGACACAACCAAAGAAUGGAAGACCGCCAGACGGAAAUGAUGCAAGCGAUCCAGCAAAUGCAGCGGGAUCAACACAAUUAUGCAAACUGGCAUGAUCAGGGGAUGGCGGAGCUUUCGGACCAGAUGAGUGCCCUGACAUAUCGCGUAGAUGCCAUCCAGGAGUACACUCGGCAUGUGGGAUUAGAUCCUACCCAGCGAGAAAGAGGUGAGCGCGCAAGAGCAAGAGCCAGAGCACGCAGAAGCUAACAGCGUAACGACGAGUAGUGAUUUUUGUUUCUUUCUUUUUAUUCUGUAUAUUGUCGCAUUGAGGACAAUGCAUUGAUUAAAUGUGGGAGGAAAUCCUUAUCACUCCUCUACUUGUUUCUAUUGUUAGUAUUUUCAAUUUUUUUUUUGUCCUUAUCAAUCAUUUAUACAUAUUUUGGCAUAACAAAAUUUUUCCUUAAGACUAAAUGCAUACCCUAUGAAUAUAUAGGUUGUCUUGGGGAGGUUUUGUUAGGAAAAAUGAGAAAGAUCUAACAAGAUUGAUACCGUCCCGACACCCUAGAUCCCUCACUUCUACGAUAUCAGUUUGAAUAACCAUUAUACCGACACCUUAAGUCUCCAUUCUAGAUUAACCCCUAGUAGUUUAUACUAGCAGUCAGCACCGUCUUAAGCACAAACCACUUGGAGAGCCGAUGAAUAUAAGUGUUUGAUGCCUACAAAUUAAGAAAUUCCUUCAUACUGUUGCUAUCAAGAAAUUGAUAAACGAACCAUACAAAAAGUUGCAAAGAUACACAAAAAUAAGGAACAGAAACCCCAGUUGGUUGGUCCAGAUGUACCUGGUACUUGACUCGGUAGGGCGAACUACGGCUCGAUCCCCCACAACCUUCAAGAAAAGGGGAUAUAAAAAGGGGUACCACACUAGUGUACCAGACCCCCGUGUUGAGAAAAGGAUCAAAGUCACUAACCGGCUACUUCACUAAGUGCGUGCGGAGGCAAAGCGCUUAAUGUGAUUGCGCCAGAAUGAAACCGGGUGAAAUAGGAACGAGAGACACUAGGUUGAGCUAUAAUGGCAUGAUUCAAACUGGCUUGUGCAUAGGAGAUAUCUACGCUGAUGCUUAAUGCUCGUGUCGUCACUGUAGCUUUAGUGUUUUACUCGAAUAUCGGCCAUCUUAACAAUCCACCUGACAACCACGUACGAAUGGGUAAUGUAUUCGCGUUUAACUUUGUUUUCAAAUUGUAUUUGAUUGUAUUUGCUUGAGGACAAGCAAAGAUUCAAGUUUAGGGGAGUUUGAUAACGCGAAAACACAUCAGAUAUUUGCCUUGAUUUACACUCAAAGAUCAUACCAUUUUAAUUAAUAUCCCGAUUAUUCCACAAGUAUUCGAGUUGUUUUUGCAGGUAUUUAAAUCUCCAAGCAUUAAUGAGCAAAAUGAAGAAAAGGAAGAAAAAGAAGAAGAAACAAAUGAGAAAGCACAAGAAAAAGCAGAAAACCAGAAAUGCAGAAAUUGUUGAUGUGACGACCGUCACAAGCUUCAUGACGACCGUCACGACCCAACCUGUGACGACCGUCACAGGCCCAUGACGAUCGUCACAGGCCCAUGACGAGCGUCACGCGGCCAGAAUUUACGCUUUGAAACAGUCAAUCACAGGCACCCAAACGUGCCUAAAAUAUCUCCAGCAGCAUGACUCCCCCGGAUUCCUCAUUCAACCAGUCUUCCUUAAAUUUCUCAACCGCCAAGACCAAAAGGAGCAAUAUAUAAAGGACCAAAGUUGGAAAAAUUGGGGACGCCUACAUCUACACUUACGCUCUGCAAUUAAUUUUUACAGCUUUCUAGCUUUUUAGUUAUUUUCUUUUUAGCAACUUUGUUUCCAUUGCCUUAGUUCAUUUGCCAUUCUUUUUUUAGAAUUCCCAUUUUCUCCUUUUCCUUUCCGUUUUCCAGUUAGCCAUAGUAGUAGUUUCCUACACUGGGGAAUUACUACACUUUAUUUAAUUUAGUAAGGAAUUGUAUUGAAGAAGCAGAAUCCUACCGACUUAUGGAGGACUGUUCAAGUACUCGAAGAUUCGUCGUAUUCUGUUAAUCCAAUUGCCAGGUUUUUAUUAAAUUAUUAUUAUUGCCUUGUUAUUGUUAUAAUUAUAUCUUCUGCACUGUUAAUCUGUUUAUGCUCUGUGUUUGCUUUAUUUAACAUGUCCUGCUAAAUUAUCGGUAUCGGUAUGUAGCAAUUUAAUUUGAUGGGAUUUAAUAAUCGGUGAAAACUCUUUUUCUCAAACAAUAUUUCAGGCCAAGGUUUUUAAUUUAAGUUUAAUUAACUUUAUCACAAAAGCGUGAGAAGCUAUUUAAUACGGUUUUUCCACGAGAGUGGGAAAUUAACUAAGGUGAGAACCAACAAUCGCGAGAGCGUGAGGCUCGAGCUGGAUAGUAAAAAUUAGGCAUUGAGUUUAAAAACAGCGAGAGCACUUUAAAAGCAAGUAGAACUUAUUUAUUUUCAAAAAGUAAUUUUAACUUCAAAUGGGACAGCGAGAGCGUACAUUCUGACUUAAAGCUAUAGGCUGAAUCAACAAUCACGAGAGUGUGAGAUAAAGCUUUUUAAAUAAAUAUUUUCUACUGAGAGAUAUUUGGCAUUUAAACUAUUCACCGGUGACUUAUCGAAUCCCUGACAAUUAAUGCGUUGCAUACUGAUUCCUUCCAUCAAUUCUUUCUUAAAACUAAAUUUCCCUUAGAUUUACUAUUUUGCCCCCGAACUUCUACUAAUCAUUCCAAUAGCUAAACAUAGUGGCGUUAGUAACACUAGUUUGACCAUAGGUCCCUGUGGGAUCAAUAUCUUUUAAAACUAAAGCGACUGGACUGUGCACUUGCAAUCAAGUACCCGAUAGACUCUAUUUUAUAUAUAGUCACGACAAGCAUCAGUCUCCUCAACUUCGGAUCCUCUGAGCUCUGCAAUCUGGUGUCUAAGGUCAGCAAUCUCAUUGUUCAAUAUAUCGGCUUCAGUGGCAUGUGUGGCAUCUGACACUUCGACCUGCAAAGCAACGUCAGCGAGCUCCUGGCGGAGCUGGGCUAUCUCCAUAUGAAGCUUAACAAGCUCAGAAUGCAUACUUGGACUAUGAAGAUUUGGAUUAUUGGUGAGGACUUUGAUUCUGGUAGGUGCGAUUCUCUGCUCAUCUACUGUCUCGCCUUGGCCUUCUAUGGCAUAGGCCCAGUUGGCCUGAUCAUAAACACAAGUUACAUGAGGGUCUGGUAAAGUAAAGUAGUGGAUAGUCUCACCCUCGAUCAAGAGCCUAUAUUGAUCUGGGUGGAAAGAAGAUCUCCUCAUGAGGCCAUGGUCGAGACAGAAGUCAAUAUCCAUCAAAGUAUAGCAGCAGUAAGAUGUUAGGUGAAAUAGUCUUCUAUCAAGUCCUAGGGAUGAGGCUAUAUGGGUUACCGUGCCUCCAACAUGUAUAAGACUCACAGCAGAACGAGCAUUAAGAUAGAGACUCUCGAUCAGAAAAGCUCCGCAAGCUACCGGGCGUGACUGAGUGGUACAGUACAUGAAGAAAAUCUCUCCAGCACUUACGCAUGUAUCAGUGUCACUCUUCCCCAGGAAGGUGUGGGUAAUAAUCAUCUGAAAAUAUCUAAAAGCAGGAUUAUAGAUCUUGUUAGAGAUUUGGGUGGAAGGGUCAGGGCUACCUCCACAUGUAAUGUCACUCCAGAACUUCUCAACGUCUCUAUUCAGGAAAUAGCUCAUGAGGUGCUCAGACGAGGCAUCAUAAGUAGUCUGAAAUCCAAGUAAGUCACCGAAACGCUUGUGGUUGAAGGUGUACUCUGCCCCAAACAUCUUGAAAUUAAUUUAGCCACCAUCAUUAGCGUGACCAACAUAGGGCUCGUAGUUCAGCGAGCUCAAGAACUCCAAAGUGAGGUUCCUGUAAGUCACAUGCAUCGCUUCAGUAUACUCAUCCCAUUGCAAUUGAUUGCAUAAAUGCCUGACACUAGGCUCAAUGCCUAAUGCCUCCAUGCAACUUGAAUCAGGAUAUCUGGUAGGCAGCAUUGGACGUUGGGAAAGCAUGGCGUAGCGUUGCUCCUGUACCGGGUCACGAAAAAUCACUGGCAUAGUGUCGAAAUUCUCCAUCCUGAAAAGUUAGGUUAAAAACAGAGGACACCUGAAAUCACAAACAUUGCAACUGUUAGUAUAAAAUAUAUAUAUAUGAAAAUAUAAAUUGAAAUAGUAAAAGUAAAGUAAAGGAAAAAGAAAUCAUGGGUUGCCUCCCAUGCAGCGCUUGUUUAACGUCGUUAGCUUGACGACUUUAUCUUUAUAUAUAGGAAGUAGGAACCGGAGGGUCGAUCAGAGUAUGGCUAGGGAAUUCUGUGGGGAUGUCACCUCCUUGAUAUUGCUUCAGUCUUUGUCCAUUUACCACCAACGAAUUAUAGGAAUUGUUCCAGAUUUCAACUGCUCCAAAUUUGAGGAUUUUGGAAACCUUAAAGGGGCCUGUCCAUCUCGAACGCAGCUUACCUGGAAAAAGUCAUAAUCUGGAAUUGAAAAGGAGAACAAAGUCACCUAUGUUAAAGUCCUUUUUCACAAUCAUUUUGUCAUGCCAAGAUUUGGUUAUUUCUUUGUAUAUAAUGGCAUUCUCGUAAGAGUUUUGGCGGAGUUCCUCCAAUUUGUGGAUAUCGAGGAUUCGCUUCUCGCCAGAUGCUAGGUAAUCUAUAUUUAGGGUCUUGAUGGCCCAAUAUGCUUUGUGCUUAAGUUCAAAAGGUAAGUGGCAUGAUUUUCCAUAGAUUAACUGGUAUGGUGUAGUUCCAAUAGGGGUUUUGUAAGCAGUUUUGUAAGCCCACAAUGCUUCUGUUAGCUUUUCAGACCAAUGUUUUCUGGAUAUUGAAACAAUUUUUUCCAAGAUUUGCUUAAUCUCUCUGUUUGAUACUUCCACUUGACCAUUAGUCUGGGGAUGAUAUGGUGUUGCUACUAUGUGUUUUACUCCAUACUUUCUUAAGAGUUUAUCGAAUAUCCUGGAUAUAAAAUGUGAUCCACCAUCACUUAUGACAAGUCGUGGUACUCCAAAUCUGGGGGAAAUAUUGUUUUUAAACGUCUUGAUGACUACUCUUGUGUCGUUAGUGGGUGAGGCUAUAGCUUCUACCCAUUUGGACACAUAGUCGACGGCUACCAAAAUAUACUUGUUUCCCAUUGAAGAUGGAAAAUGCCCCAUGAAAUCAAUAUCCCAAACAUUAAAUAAUUCCACUUCUUGGAUGUUCUUCAAAGGAAUUUCGUCGCGUCUUGAGAUGUUUCCAGCGUGCUGGCACCGGUCACAUUGGGAAAUAUAAGUAUGUACAUCACGCCAUAGUGUUGGCCAAUAAAGACCAGCUUGAAGGAUCUUAGUGUAUGUCUUGGAUGUGCUUGAAUGUCCACCAUAGGGUGAAGAGUGACAAUGCUCUAUGAUAUUUCUAACUUCUUCUUCCGGGACGUAACGUCGAAGAUGUUAUUUGUUCCUCUUUUAAAAAGGAGUGGUUCGUCCCAAAAGAAAUGUCUUACAUCUUUAAAGAACUUCUUCUUUUGUUGAUAAUUGAGGUCAGGCGGUCUGAUAUCAGUGGCUAGAUAAUUCACAAAAUCAGCGUACCAUGGUACUCUGCUAAUCUCUGAAAUUGUUCCAAGGUUGUCUCUAUCAAGUUCAAGGGGAACGGUAUCUAACUUAGCUAUCAAUCUGUCAUAGGUGAAAUCAUCAUUUAUAGGUAAAUGGUUUGGCUUCAAAUGCUCUAGUCUGGAAAGAUGGUCAGCAACUACGUUUUCUGUUCCUUUUUUGUCUCGGAUGUCGAAGUCGAACUCUUGUAGAAAAAGGAUCCAUCUGAGUAACCUAGGUUUCACAUCCUUUUUACUUAGAAGGUAACGGAUAGCUGCAUGGUCUGUAUAGACUAUAAUCUUAGAUCCGACAAGAUAAGACCUAAAUUUAUCAAUUGCAAAAACUACAGCUAGGAGUUCCUUCUUUGUUGUCGUAUAAUUGAAGCAUGGUCUGUAUAGACUAUAAUCUUAGAUCCGACAAGAUAAGACCUAAAUUUAUCAAUUGCAAAAACUACAGCUAGGAGUUCCUUCUUUGUUGUCGUAUAAUUGAGUUGAGCGACAUCUAGGGUUCAACUAGCGUAAUAUAUCACAUAUAAUUUCUUAUUUUUUCUUUGUCCUAAAACAGCUCCUACAGCGAAAUCGCUAGCAUCACACAUUAUUUCAAAAGGUUGAGUCCAAUCUGGAGUUUGUAAAAUGGGUGUUGAAAUUAGCGCUUGUUUUAAAUGAAUAAAGGCUUCGAUACAUUUUUCAUGGAAAAUGAAUUCAACGUCUUUCAUCAGAAGGCCGGUCAGGGGUUUUGUUAUUUUAGAGAAGUCUUUCAUAAAGCGUCGGUAAAAACCGGCGUGUCCAAGAAAACUUCGGACUUCUCCAAUAGUCUUAGGAGAUUUAAGAUUUUCUAUCACUUCUAUCUUUGCUUUGUCGACCUCAAUCCCUCUUUCAGAUAUUAUAUGUCCUAACACUAUGCCUUCUUUAACCAUAAAGUGGCUUUUCUCCCAGUUUAAUACAAGGUUAACUUCUACGCAUCUUUCUAGGAUUUUCUCAAGAUUAAUGAGGAAACUCUCAAAGUCAAACCCACAUACCGAAAAAUCAUCCAUGAACACUUCCAUAAUUCCAUCGAGAUAAUCUGCGAAGAUUGACAUCAUACAAUGUUGGAAAGUAGCUGGCGCAUUGCAGAGUCCAAACGGCAUUCGUCUGUAAGCAAAUGUUUCGUAAGGACAGGUGAAGGUUGUUUUCUCUUGAUCCUCGGGGUGUAUGGGUAUUUGGAAAAAUCCAGAAUAUCCAUCCAGAUAACAAAAGUAAGAGUGUCAAGCAUUUGAUCUAUGAAUAGAAGGGGGAAUUGGUCUUUCCUAGUUGCCUUUUUGAGUUUCCUAUAGUCUAUGCACAUACACCAUCCUCCUUUUAUAUGUUUAGCCACAUGCUCGCCCUUCUCGUUUUGCACGAUUGUGAUGCCUCCUUUUUUGGGUACCACAUGUACAGGACUUACCCAUUUACUAUCGGAGAUCUGAUAGAUUAUACCAGCUUCUAGAAGUUUAAGGACUUCCUUCUUUAUCACCUCACUCAUUACAGGGUUGAUACUUCUCUGAUGUUCUCCGGAAGGUUUUGAAUCAUCCUCUAGCGAGAUCCUGUGCAUACAUAGGGAUGGGCUUAUACCUUUCAAAUCAGAUAUGGUGUAUCCUAAGGCAGAGGGGUAUCUUCGUAAAUCAUUCAAGAGUUGGUUUGUCUCGUCUUGGUUUAAGGUGGCACUAACUAUUAUUGGGCGGUUCAUUUCUUUAUCCAAAAAUUUGUAUCUUAGGUUCUUGGGCAAUUCCUUAAGUUCUUGAGUUGGUUUUUGAGGGUUUGGUGAAAGGUCUGGAGUAAGGGCCAAACAUUCGUUAGUGCGAGGAUCUGUUUUGUUUAGCUCGUCAUCCUUUUCAUUCGGGUUUGAAAAUGGUUCGAUCAUAGGUUCUUCUUGAUCAAAUUCCCUUAUGCAUUCAUCUAUGAUAGCAAUCGCGUAACAUGCGUCUCCUAUGAUUGGGGCUAUCUGGAAACUUUGAAAGAAUAAACUCUAUCUUUCCAUCUCCUACUUCGAAAGUCAAUUUUCCUCUUUUAACAUCUAUUAUAGCUCUAGUUAUUGAUAAAAAUGGUCUACCUAAAAGGAUAGGGAUAUCGUCGUCUUCCUUGAUAUCCAUGACCAUAAAGUCUAUCGGGAUAUAAAGUUGACUGAUCCUAACGGGGAUGUACUCUAAUAUGCCUAUAGGAUACUUAACAGAUCUAUCGGCUAAUUGGAGGGACAUCUUAGUUGGUUGUAAUUCUCCUAAGUUUAACCUUUUACACAUAGCUAAGGGAAUUAAACUCACACUAGCGCCUAAGUCUAGGAAAGAUUUGUCGAUCACAUGACUCCCUAGAAUGCAAGGUAUAUAAAAACUCCCACGGUCUUUCUCCUUCUUAGCAAGUUUAUUCUCGGAAAUAAAGUUGCAUUCCAAAGGUUUGGGAUCGUCAAGCGUACGCUUGUUGGUUAAAAUGUCUUUGAUAAAUUUGGCGUAAGAUUGAAUUUGGGUGAUGGCUUCGGUGAAAGGUAUCUCUACAUGAAGCUUCUCUAUCACUUUUAUAAACUUUUGGUAUUGGUUAUUGAUUUUGGUUUGUUUAAGUCUUUGCGGAUAUGGGAUUGGGGGUUUGUAUGGGGGUGGUGGUUUGUAAGUUUUAUCCUUGGCUUCUCCUUCUUGGUCGGUUUACUUUUCGGGUUCCACCGGUUCCUCUUCUGUGUUGGUAGGUAUAUUUUCUUUAGUAGCUUUGGACUCGCUCAUUGCUAGGUUGUGAGGCCCUUCGUAAGCGGCCCCACUUUGUAAACCGAUAGCGUUAGCUUGCCCUCGAGGGUUGAGUUGAGGUUGUCCAUGGAAUUAUCCUCCAGGUGUAGUUUGCGGCGCUUGGAUUUGUGCUACCUGUGAGAUCUAGGUUUCAAGCAUCUUAUUGUGAGUAAUUAUCUGAUCAACCUUAGUCCCUAAUUACGUGAACGUUCUAGUUUAGGAAUUCUUUAUUUUGCUGAGUCUGGCCUGAUAUAAAGUUCUCCAUGAUAUUAUCAAGGUUAGGCUUCUGGGGCAUAGGUUGAUUUGGUUUUUGGGCUUGAAAACCUUGUGGUCUUUGAGGUGCAUAGUUUUGGAUAGGGUUCUGGUUUUUAUAGGAAAUAUUCGAGUGAUUCUUCCAUCCAGAGAUGUAAGUGUUUGAAAAUGGGUUAGCUUGGGCGUAAUUCACUUGGUCGGUGUUCAGGUCAUUCAAAAGGUUACAUUAUGCCGAUUCGUGUCCCUUAGAUCCAUAAAGUUCACACUCUGUGUGGACUACCAUUGCGGUGUUCGAGUUUGUAGAAAUAUGGUCGACCUUAAGGGCUAAAGCAUCCAUCUUCGCUUGUAUCAUGUCCAUAGAACUUAUCUCAUGUAUUCCACCUUGGGUCUCCUUUUUCUUGACUGAUGCUCGUUCAGUUCCCCAUUGGUAAUGGUUUUGGGCCAUAUCCUCAAUUAGGUCACAAGCUUCAGGAUAAGGUUUGUUCAUCAGCGCGCCACCAGCGGCAGCGUCGAUGCUCAUCUUUGUGUUAUAAUGGAGUCUAUUGUAGAAGGUAUGAAUGAUCAGCCAUUGUUCUAGGCCAUGGUGUGGACAGACUCUUAACAACUCCUUGUAUCUCUCUCAAGCUUCAAAAAGUGAUUCUCCUUAAUUUUGAGUAAAUCUAGUUAUUUGGUUUCGAAGAACAACAGUCUUACUAGGGGGAAAAUAUCUAGCAAGGAAUACUCUCCUAAGGUCUUCCCAAGUAGUUAUUGAGUUAGCUGGAAGUGAAUCUAACCACGAACAUGCUCUAUCUCUGAGGGAGAAAGGAAAUAGUCUUAAACUAAUUGCCCCAGGUGAAGCACCAUUGGAUUUAAAGGUGUCGGCCAGUUGGAUAAAGACUUUUAAAUGUUGAUUUGGGUUCUCGAUAGCAAGACCCGCGAAUUGGUUUUGUUGCACUAAUUGUAGUAAAAAUGGUUUUAGUUCGAAAUUGUUGGCAGGAAUAAGGGGGUUUACUAUACCAGAACUAGGUUCCUCGUCAUAGGGUUGGGAAAAUUCCUUAAGAGGUCUUCGGUCGCGAUUCUCGGCCAUAGCUUUCUUAAUUCGGAUGAGUAAGAGGCGUCUACGAGUGUAACGUUCGGGUUCCGCUAAAGGAUCUACUAAAUUUCCGGUACUACAAGUUCUUCGCAUUUACCGGCUAAUAAUGCCUUAGUCUAGACGGUGUAACAACAGGGUACGAAAUGUGACGAAGUUGGUCCCCGGUAACGGCGCCAAAAACUUGAUCGCUGUAUUCACAAGUGCACGAAUCGCGUUAGAGUAAUAUAAAAGAAUAUUGAUCCCAAAAGACCAAAUCGUCAAUCUAUCGAUUACUAUUGUUACGAUGUUUAUCUAAGGCGGUACAAAUGAGAUAUUGAUGUCGCAAAAUAAAAGUAAGUAAAGAAAAUGAUAAAUACAGUGCAAAUAAAGAUAUGCUUGAAUGUAUUUCACGUCAGUUAAACGAUGCUUCGAUUGUCUAAAUAGAACUACUUAUGGGGCAAUAUUUUCUACUCUUGAAAAGAAUCCAUUUAACAAGAACUGUCGCUUUCGCGUAUUCAUAACCGAGUUUACCCUUAAAUUAAGGCCUUUUAUUGUCACUUAUAAAAGGUGCGCAGAACGCUAAAGUAGUAAACCUACUUUUAAGAAAUAAGACUCGUAAGCUUAGCUGAAAAGUGAUUUUGAUUCGGAAAGUUUUACGUAAGGAGUUCCUGAUUUUAAAUCUAUCAACGUGUCCGAAAACAAUUUCAAAAAUCGUUUUUCCUUAAAGUGAUAAAAAUUCCUAGAUAACUAAGCCAGGGUGCUUUCGUACUCCUUGAGUAGUUAAAAUUAACCAAGUUUAUUUUAGAAAACUCGAAUUAAGAAUCAAAACAUCCCCUAAAGCAUUUCUACAGAUGCAAUAUGUGAAACAUCUCUUUAACCACGAUCCUUACAUUCUAACCUUUGAACGAUUUAUCCAGACAUGGUAAUACAAACAAACACAAUGAUAUUGAUCAUGAUGAAAAAUUGUUUAGAAUGUAAGGCGUAAAGAACAAGUAAAGCGUGUGAAACAAUUAAAACGAGAAAUAAAGAUAUUGGCGAGAAAAUUAAAUAAAGUAAAGACAAUGGCAGGAAAUUAAAUAAAGUAAGACAAUGGCAAGGAUAUAAAAAAAGUAAAGCAUGACAAGGAAUUAAAUAAAGUAAAGCAUGGCAAGUAAAAGAAAAAUGCGAUUAAAUUAGAACCUGCUCCAAACGGAGGCUUUAAGUCUGAUACAAGUAAGUAAAUAAACCUUCGACUUUGAAAAUAAAGACGACAACAAAAUCAAAGUGCUCCAACUUAAUUACACUAAGGUGCGAUAACCCCUCGAUGUGACGGAUUACAUCUUUUACAGAUGAUAAUAUAGUCUUAGUGUUGUAAACUAAGUUGGAUGAUUUAGAAAUGAACUAGAACGACCUAUUUAUAGAGGAACUCAACAGCUUAUAAAAGACCAUGAUGCCCUUCAACUUCUCUUUAGUGGGAACAUGAAAUGCAAAGGUGGCGCCUGCCACCCCUCCAUGGCGCCCGCCAUGUGAGUAAAUGGGGAAGUUCAUGGGGUCGUGGCAGUUUCCUCCUAGUUGAGGGCUGAUGUGUCAUGGAUUCUCCUAUAGCGGCCGCCAUGCAGAACGCCAUGAGUACAAUUUUUUCCGAAAACCCUAAUUUUAUGGUCUUUUUGCUUCGUUUCUUCUAAAAAGGUCCUGAAAGAGCUAAAUACCUGAAACAAUACAAAAUAAAGCAUAACACAAGAAAAAUGAUAAUAAAGACCUAAAAUACAUGUGAAAUCCGAGUCAAAAACGCGGUGUGGUUCAGUGUGAUCAAAAAGCCAAGGUUAGUAGUACCUUUCACAUGCAUGAAGAUCCUUUUAACAAAUAUUAAGUGGGAUUCUCUAGGAUCUGAUUAGUAGCGAGCAUAUAAACGGACUCUAAAUAAAAUGUCAGGUCUAGAAGAAAUUUAGUAUAGGAGAGAACCUAUCAUACCUCUGUAUACCUUUUUCUCUACCUUUGUGCUUACAUCAUCCUUCUCAAGCAUACAUGUAGGAUUCAUUGGAGUUUUCACUAUCUUUCAUUCUGACAUGUCAAACUUUUUCAGAAGUCUUUGGUAUAUUUUCUAUGAUGGAUAUAUGUUCCUUCUAGACUUUGAUUAAUUCGGAUACACAUAAAGAACUUGAGUUCUCCCAUCAGACUCAUCUGAAACUCUUCCUUCAUUGACUUAGAAAGUUUCUUGCAAAAAGUAGCAUUAGCAGAACCAAAUAUGAUAUCGUCUACAUAUAUUUGAACAACAAGAAUAUCAUUUUGAAUGUUUUACAGAACAUAGUUGUAUCAAUCUUCCCUAUGGUUAAAUCAUUUUCUAAAAGAAAAUUUCUUAGUCUUUCAUACCAUGCUCUAGGAGCUUGUUUCAGACCAUACAAAGAUUUCUUAAGUUAGAAAACAAAAUAUGGAUUUUUGUGAUUUUCAAAACCAUGAGGUUGGUCUACAUACACUUCUUCAGUUAUGUACCCAUUCAGAAAUGCACUAUGAACAUUCAAUUCAUACAAGAUGAUGUUAUGAUUAACAACAAAAGAAACUAAGAGACGAAUAGACUCUAACCUAGCAACUAGUCCAAUGGUCUUAGUAUUGUCAAUCCCAUCUUGCUGAUUAUGGCCAUGUGAAACCAGUCUGGCAUUGUUUCUUACCACUUCUCCUUUUUCAUUUAGCUUGUUUCUGAAGACCCACUUUGUCCCAAUGACAUGAGUUCCUUUAGGUCUAGGCACAGGAGUCUAUGCAUCAUUUUUAGAGAAUUGAUUCAGUUCUUCUUGGAUUUUCAGAAUCCACUAAGUGUUAAGAAGUGCUUCAUCAAUAGAUGUAGGUUCUAUAAGGGACACCAAACCCAAAAGUAUUUCUUCAGAAGGUUUGAAUGAGGAUAUGGUUCUAUUUUAUCUCCCAAAAUCAAUUCUUCAGAGUGUGAGUAUUUUUGUUUUUGCUUCCUCAGAGGAGUCUGAACUUCAACAACUUCUAGAUAUACAAUUUCAAAGUCUUUUUCCUUAGCAUCUUUAGCUUCUGAAGCUUUACCUUCAGAGCCCGAAUAAGUGAUCUCCAGAUCUACAAACUUCUCAAAUAGCUCUGACUUUUCUGAGUCAAGCUUAUCAUAAAAGAUGACAUGAAUUGAUUCCUCAACAAUUCGUGUUUUAGUGUUAUAUACUCUAUAGCAUUUAUAGCAUUCAGAGUAUCCUAACAUUAUACACUUUUGUUCCUUAUAAUCAAACUUGUUCAUAUUUUCUUUAGUGUUCAAAAUAAAACAAGUACAUCCAAAAGGAUGGAAAUAUGAAUUGUUGAGCUUUUUAUUCUUCCACAAUUCAUAAGGAGUCUUACCCAGAAUAGAUCUUAUAGAGAACUUGUUCUGAAUAUAGCAGACUAUGUUUACUUCCUCUGCUCAUAAGUGCUUAGCCACAUUAGUCUCACUGAUCAUGGUUCUGGCCAUUUCUUGCAAGGUCAUAUUCUUCCUCUCUACAACUCUAUUUUAUUAUGGAGUUCUAGGGCAGGAGAAAUCAUGGCAAAUGACAUUUUCAUCAAAGAGUUUUUCAAAAUAUUUAUUUUCAAAUUCACUACCAUGAUCACUUCUAACUUUAACAAUUCUAAAGUCUUUCUCAUUUUGCACUUGUGAGGAGAAGGUCGAGAACACAGAGUGUGACUCUUCCUUGUGUCUUAAGAGUUUGACUGAUGUCCAUCUGAUGUAGUCAUCAACAAUGACUAAACCAUAUUUCUUACCAUUGACAAAAGCAAUUUUCACUGGUGCAAAGAGGUCAGUGUGCAAGAUUUCCAAAGGCCUAGAAGUAGAGAUAAUAUUCUUUGCUUUGAAAGAAGUUUUUGAAAACUUGCCGUUUCGAUAUGCUUCACAAAGAGAAGCUGAAGCAAACUUCAGGUUUGGAAGGCCUGUGACUAAAUAAAGCUUAUUUAGCUGAAAGAUCCUUCUCAUACUAACAUGGCCCAAUCGUUUAUGCCAGACCCAUUGCUCUUCCUUAACAGACAUGAGACAUUUUACAUUCUUAUUUUUAAGAUAAGAAAGUCUAAUUUUAUAAAUGUUAUUUUUCCUCUUGCCGUUGAAAAGAAUGGAACCAUCCUUCUGACUAAUAACUUUAAAAUACUUUUGAUUAAAUAUUAUAUCAUAACCAUUGUCUAUUAAUUGACUUAUCGAUAAUAAGUUAUGAAUUAAUCCAUCAAAUAAUAUAACAUUAGUAAUAGAAUGGAAAGAGUUGUUACCAAUUUUUUUGGAGCCUAUGAUCUGUGACGGCAAAGAUCCCUUGUCCUUAUUUUAAUGAUGUCAAACCUUUUUUUGUUGCUCAUAAUGUGUGUUUUGGACGGUGUCAUCAUAUCAUAGAAUACAUUCAUCCUCUAACAUGCUCAAAGUAUAAGUGAAAUGAGUUCAUGCAUAUAGGAGCAUUUCAUAGAUGUGAAUAAUGUGCUUGAUUAUCAUUGGUAUCUUAGGUUCAUAAGAAAAUGGUUUGAAUUGACCAAAUUAUCAAAAAACUCAUUUUUUACAAUUUAAGAAUUUUGAGUUGACUCAUGAGUCGACUCAUGAGUAGGAGCAUAACUCUCGCGUCUGAACUGUUCGAGUUAUGAGUCGACUCAACUCUGGAAAAACCUGUUUGAGUUGACUCAUCCCCUAUUUGAGUCGACUCAUUGGUUGUUUGAGUCGACUCAUUGGUUGUUUCAUUUGAACCAUGUUGCCACGGGUCUGAACGGGUCGAGUCAUGAGUCGACUCAUCCCUUGUUUGAGUCGACUCAUCGCUUGUUUUACUUAAUUUUCUGUUGUGUAACUUUGAAAAAUAUUUCUGUUAUGUUUGUUAUUUGGGUCAUGCAUCAUAUAAAUAUUCAAGAGUCUCUUCUUCAACAUCGAACAAUAAAAGUGAAAGAUAUACACCAAAGUGCUCAUCAUCUUCAUUCUUCAUUGCAUUUCUCAAUAAUCACACAUAAUAAUCUUUGUUGAGCAUUGUGCAUUAUAGUUGUGAUAACGUUCAAAUAAGAUUGGAUUAUCUUAGUUUGGGUUAAGACUUUGUGUGGGUUUUUCUUGAAUAAAACCAUUGAGGUUUUGUCCUCCAAAAAUUGGGGUUUUUUGCACUAACCUUUGCUUCGCAGAUUCAGCCGAGUGAAAAGUUUGAAGAAUGAAAGGUUCAGUUAAACAAGUAGCGGUAACCAGAGGAUUGUGAAUAAAGCUUAGGGUUCAAGCGACUUGCGUUCGAAAUCAGCCGAGCUGAAGUUUUGGAGAACGUGUCGUUCUUGUAAUAAGGUAGCGGUAAUUGGAGGUUUGUUCGAAGCGCUUGAAGGACUUGGUUCAACUAGAAUCAAGAGGAGAGAAUAGAAUAGGACCUGCAACAACUAUAGGGGCUGAUUGGUGGUGAUCAUUUAUUCUCUUGUAUUGACUUUGCAACGUGUUAAUAAAAACAUCUCAAUUCUAGAUUUAGAAUUGAGGGCAGACGUACCCUAAGCGAGGACGAUAGGGGAACUGCCUCAACAAAUCCGGUCUUGUUCUCUUUAUCUCUUAACUCUUUAAAUUCUACAUUAAUUAAAUUUUGUGUGAAAUUAAUCGUUAAAUCAAUAUCGCUCGAUUGGUGUGCAUAGUAACUAUUCGAUAAAUUGUUGCAAUCACUUUGAUUGCAACUGAGUAAAAUUCCGCACAUUUAAUUUGAGUGAAAUUGAAACUUGGUAUGGAGUGCACACCAAGUGUUCGAUAAAAUUAAUCUCACACAAACUUAGUAAUAUUUUACUGGAUCUCUUAUUGUGUUAAGCAUUAUUAGAGGUAACGAUAUCAAGGAUCAUAGUGGAUAAUCGAUUGAUUUAGAUAGCGGUUGAUAAUCUCUAUCUUAAGUAAUUCCAUUCGGUUUCACGCGUAUCCGAUCUUUCCAAUUAACGGAUCAUUUAGACGAUCACAAUCUAGGGUGCUUCCGCAACCGUUGAAAACAUUUUUAAAAAAUGCUAAAUUUCAAAACUGAUCUAUUCAACCCCCCUUCUAGAUCGGUACUAUCGUCUAACAUUAUCUUCCCUUUUUGAUCACCUUCGAAACCCAUGAAGCCAUCUGGCUUAAGUUCCAAAUCUUGGAACAUAUGCCUUCUUCUCGUCAUUGGCCGUGAGCACCUAGAGUCCAAGUGUUAUGAUUGGUGUUUCAAUUGAGCUGCUAAGGAUGUCUGCACCAUAUACUAUCUUGUUCUUAGAUAUCCAUAUUUUUUGGGUCCUCUCUGAUUAUUUCUCUCAGGGUUUUUAGAGAACUUAGGUCUUUGUGUAAAAUAAUCAUUUUGAGUAUAAGCAUAAUAGAAAUGGGAAUGCAGAGCUUUUGGUUGUGCCUUAGGUUUUGAAAUAGGUUUUUCUUUAGACACAUAGCCAAUUUCUUUUCUUCCAUUUGUGGUAACUCCAUAAAUCAUUGAAGCCAUCUUGCUUCUAUCUAUGUUUCUAGUAAAAAAUGUCUAAAAAGAUUUGAAAUAUUUCUUUAUGACAUUUUUAGAAUCCACAUAAGCUUUUGAAAGAAUUUCUUCCUCAAGUUUAGAACUUUUACUUUGAAGUGAAGAGUUUUCAUUUUUCAGAAUAAAAUUCUCUUCAUUCAAAGUGAAAAAAAUCUUUCUUAAUCUUACUAUAUGGUUCAGAUUAAGAUACUUGGACUUAUUUCAGAUCCUUGUAUUUGUUCUGAAGCUUUUGAUAUUUCUCCAGAAUUUCAGAAAGACAAGAUUCUAAUUCAGAGCGAGAUAAGUUAGGAAAUACCUCCUUAGAGUUUGACUCUUAUUCUGAUUCUGAUUCUGGUUGGAUAUUUUCAUCAGAUGAUUAUGUGCUUGCCAUUAACACUGCAUUAGCUUGCUCUUCCUCAGAGUCAUCUUCUAAGGAUUCAUAGCCAUCCCAGCUAGCCAUCAAACUUUUCUUCUUUCCUCUGAAGUCUUUCUUCUAUGGUCUAUCUUUCAUUAGCUUGGGACACUCAUUCUUGUAGUGACCUGGCUCCUUCUACUCAAAACAGAUAACGUCUUUGCCAAAACCUGAAUUCUUCAGUAUAGAUAUAGGCUCAAAGCGACCACCUAUCCUUUUGGAGCCUCUGAACUUGCUUUGUCUUUUCUUCCAGAGUUGAUUAACUCUCCUAGAAAGAAGAGAUAAUUCAUCUUCUUCUUCAGAGUCUUCUUCAAAAUCCUCUUCUUCUUCAUGUUGAAAGGCUUUAGUAUUUGCAGACUUUCCCAUAAAUUUUAGAACCACAAAUUUAACUGUUCUUUAAGGCUCAUCUUCUUCAAUCUCUAUCUCAUGAAUUCUUAAAGAAAUCAGAAGCUCUUCAAGAGUUAUGUUGUUCAGAUCCUUAGAUAGUUUCAAAGUAAUUACCAUAUGCCUCUAUCUCUUGGGUAAGCUUUUGAUUAUUUUAUUAAAAUGAUCUACAAUAGAGUAACCUUUGUCCAUUACCUUCAGUCUUGCAACAAGAGUCUAAAACCUUGAGAACAUGCUCUCAACAGUUUCACUGUCUUCCAUCUUGAAGGCUUCAUACUUUUGUAUCAAGGCAAGCGCCUUGGUUUCUUUCACUUGAGUGUUUCCUUCAUGAUUAAUGCUUAGAGAAUAAAAAAUAGACUUUGUUGUGUCUCUAUUUAUGAUCUAUUCAUACCCAGAGUAUGAUAUAACAUUCAACAGGAUGGUACUUGCUUUAUGAUGAUUCUUGUAAUCUUUAUUUUGUUGAUCAAUCAUCAUUCUUCUUUCCACCUUUUUAUUGUAGCAGUGCAUUCAUGACCAUCGAGCUAUGGAUAAACCCGAUGUCAAUUGAAAAAUUAGAGUAGCCACCGCGCCUUACUUGUUUCCAAAGGAAAAUGGAAAAGUACGAACAAAACCCAAAGAUAAGAAUUUUUCAAAUCAAAACUAAUAAAAUGCCAGAGAUUACAAGUAAGGGGGUUGGUUACACAAAGGAAAUGUAUUAGCACCCAAAAUGUCCUAGGUACUCUUAGGGAGCCCUUUUUUUGUGUGCAAGUGCUUUAGUUGAAAAUAUGUUUGAUAAAAAUGGAAUGGGGGGAUGAGAAAAGAAUUAAUUUAUUUUUUUGUGUUUGACAAGACCUUUGGUCUUAUGCCUACGUACCAACAUAAAAAUGAGGGAUCAAAAGCCCGUAGUUCGUGGUAAAAAUUUCAAAGAAAUUGGUGGAUUAAUUUUAACAAAGGUUUAGAAGAAGAAGAAACUAGAUGGCCAAAAGAUUUGAAUGAAGUUGUUAAAUCUUUUUUUAUUUUUGAAAUUGAGGUCAAUAUGAUUAAGUUUAUUCAUUUGAAUUAAGAAAAAGUUUGAAAAUUCAUUGGCCUAAGGCCAAAGUUUCCACUCAUUAAAACAUGUCUAAGUUGAAAACACAAGCAAAAAAGGUUUUGAAAAGAGGGAGAGAUUUUGAAAUUAAAGAACUGGGGAGGAGAUGAAGGGAUUGCCCUAAACAAAAUUAAAAGUUAAGAGUUGAAAAAAUAUGACCAAUAGGAAGAAAUCCACAAGACAAGACUGUCAGAUAGAAACCCAUUUCCUUUGAACUUUUGAGUAAGUAAUAAGCAUAAGCAAACAUCCCAUCAAAUAAUAAUGAAGACCAAGGAAUCAAAUAAAGAUAGCCAUAAUAUCCAAGCAAGCAUUCCAAUAGAAAGCAUUCUUCAAUAUCUUUAAAUGUAUCAGAUGAAAAUAUUCCUUGGCAAACUCACAGAGAUAAUCAUCAGACAUCAAUAAUAAUGACAAUAUAACAAUUAAGCACAGAGACAAAGUGACAGAUGAAUCAAGGGAGUCAAGGCUUGCAUUAGAUGAAAGGACACAAUCAAGGAUAAUGGCAUUGGCCAAUUCCUUUUAAGAAUAGGGAAUGUUUCCUACUUCUAAGUCCACGAGUUCAGAUCCAAUCAAGGGCAUAGGGAAUGUUGCCAAUUCUAAGUCCAAGAGUUUGUAUCAAGUCCAACAGUCUGUAGCGGUGCAUUCGUGACCAUCGAGCUAUGGAUAAACCUGAUCUCAAUUGAAAAACCAGAGUCGCCACCGCGCCUUAUUUGUUUCCAAAGAAAAAGGGAAAAUUAUGAACAAAACCCCGAGAUAAGAAUUUUUGAAAUCAAAACUAAUAAAAUUCCAGAGAUUACGGGUAAGGGGGUUGGUUACACAAAAGGAAGGUAUUAGCACCCAAAGUGUCCUAGGUACUCCUAGGGAGCCUUUUUUUUUUGUGUGCAACUGUUUUAGUUGAAAAGAUGUUUGACAAAAAUGGAAUGGGGGAAUGAGAAAAGAAUUCAUUUAUUAUAUUUUUGUGUUUGACAAGAUCUUCGGUCUUAUUCCUAUGUACCAACAUAAAAAUGAGGGAUAAAAACCCUGUAGUUCGUGGUAAAAAUUUCAAAGAAGUUAGUGAAUUGAUUUUAACAAAAGUUCUAAUAAAAAGGGCACAAAAUGGCCAAAAGACUUGAAUGGAGUUGUUAGUUCUUUUUGUCUUUUUGAAAUUGAGAUCAAUAUGAUUAAGUUUAUUCACAAAUUUGAUUUAAGAUUUUUUUUUAAAAAUUCAAUGGCAUAAGGCCAGAGUUUCUAAUUAUUAAAACAUGUCUGAGUUUGAAAUCACAAGCAAAGAAUAUUUUUUAAAAGGAGGGAAAGAUUUGAAAUUAAAGAAGUGGGAGGAGAUGAAGAGACUACCCUAUCCAAAUAAUAUAAGUUAAGAGUUGAAAAGAUAUGACCAAUGGGAUGCAAUCCACAAGACAAGAAUGUCAGAUAGAAACUCAUUUCCUUUGGACUUUUGAGCAGAAAAUAAGCAUAAGCAAUAUCCAAGCAAUUAAUCAUGAAGGCCAAGGAAUCAAAUAAAUAUUGCCAUAAUAUCCAAGCAAGCACUCCAAUAGCAAGCAGUCUUCAAUGUCUUCAAAUGUAUCAGAUGAAAUAUUUCCUUGGCAAACUCACAUAAACAAUCAUCAGACAUAAUUACUAAAAAUAAUAAAACAAUCAAGCAUCGAGACAAAGUGGCAGAUGAACUAGGAGUACUCAAGGUUUUCAUCAUAUGAAAGGCACAGUCAAGGAUAAUUCAGUCUCAGAUAGUGGCAUUGGCCAAGUGCCCAAAGCAUAGGGAAGGUUGCCUAAUUCUAAGUCCAAGAGUUCAGAUAAAGUCAAGGGCAGAGGUCGAACAGUCCACCAACAUAAUUUUUAGGGUUUUUGUUGUUAUUAGGUAUUUUAAUGUCCUAAGACCACAAACAAAACAAAACCAAAAUCACACAAAAUAUACAAGUACAAAUGAUAUGGCUCAAGUGAGCAAAGUGAAAAUGACUGAAACAUAAACAUCUUGCAUAAAAUGUUAAUGGCAAUGAAUGAUAAAGGUACCGAAAUUUAAAUUUCAUUAAGUAAAUGACUUGAAAGUAAAGUAAUGUUAAUGAAAUGUUAGUUAAAUGUUAGUGAAGAGUUUAUUUGUUUAAGUCAUUCUUUGGAGUACACUCAACCAUCCAUUCACAAGUAUGAAGACAUGAACCAAGACAUCAUCCAUGAGAAAGGGCUCCAACUUGGAUAAAUCAACAAGUAUACCACUAGCUCUCAUGAAUGGAAAAAAGGAAAAGUCUUCACACAAUACCAUGAAGAAUGAGAGACUUACAAUCUCACUUAUUAGAAUGCUAUACCUUGCGGGACAAAUUUAGCUAUAUGUUAAGCAAUCGUAAUUGGACUUAUGCAGAAGUCACAACUAUAUGAGGUCGGACAAUAAUAAUAUUAGCGUUAAUGCAUGUUAGAGACUUGGUACAAAGAACCAAACUCUUAAAACAUACCACACACAAAAAUAAAGUGGGAAAGACCUAUCUCAAUCCAGCUCAUGUUGAUUCAUUUGACACAAGGUCAUUGAUGAAUCAACUAGCAUUUGGACAUUAGAGAAAUCAUUGGACAAUGAUGGAUUGGGAAACAAUAUGGAUGAAGAUAAGGAUGGGAGGGGAGAUAGAAACCCAAAUUGAUCACGGGAGGAAAUUCAUAUGAUUAAUACUAUCCAUUCAUCUUCAGGGAUGAAAUGUAUAUUUCAUCAACCCCCAAAAUCCAAAUGUAUUGAUCAAAUAAAAGUUCAAAUCAACCAUGAUCAAGGUCAAACAGAAAGUCAAACAUCACAAAGUGAAUCAAAUGGCUCAACGAUAUUUUUAAACAAUUAAACAAUUAAAAAUCAAUUUUAACAUGAAUUAAAAUGCAUUUUUAAAUGGACAAAACCUCAAAUCCCUUCAAAUCACCAAAUAAAUGGCCAAGGGAUUUAUCCUAGGUCAAACAAGGUCAAAGGAGCCUAGAUAAAAAAAUUUAGAAUUUUGGGAAAGUCAGAAGUAUUUUAUAAUAUUUAAAAACAAGUCCAAAAUCAAUUAAUUCACAAAAAAUAGCAAAAUUAGUCCAAAAAAAUUGAUUUUAAUUCAAAAUAAGGAAGAUGAUUAAAAAUGAAUUUAUUAUAAAUUAAUCAAAAUAAGUGGAUUAAAAGAAAAAUAAGAAAUUGAAACAAAAUUGGAAAAAACAAGGGCCAUCAGAUCUCCCUCAUUAAUUAGGUGGCAGAUCUGAUGGCCACGCAUGUGGUGUCCACCAAACACACUAGUCAAACGCGCUGCAAACAUGUUCAUACAAACAAAGGAGAUAUGAUUAAAACGUUUAAACAUGAUCAUAUGGUUGGGAGGGUGCCAACACACCACCGGAGCCCUAGCUCCGGUCUUCUUCUCCGGUGGACCUCAUUUGACUGAUCCAUCACCAACUUCCAUAAAAAAAAGUAAAUACACUAUUUUGAAGGAAAAAACCUCAGGAGCCCAAAUCUGACCUCAACUUUCUCCAAUUCCAAGUAUAUUGAAAGAUGUAUGGAUUUGAAAUUUGAGGAAUAUGAUCUAAGUUGCUUCGAUUUAACUUCAAAGUAACUCAGUCUUGUUGCCUACAUUGGUAGGACUUCAGCCAACCAAAAACCAAGUGAAAUAAUGGAGAAUUGAGGGAGAAUCAAAGAAGGAAAGUUUCACAAAACUCACAUUCUGUGUGCAGUGAUGAAGCUCGAUCUGGAUUUCAAUUUGCUUGGGCUUGCUUCCACUAGCUUGUAGGAGAUGAAAUGGAUGCUCAAAUGGUUUGGACUCUUGGAGUUUCAAUCUCAAAACAGAAGUGAAAUUGAAACUCGAUUUCAAAUGAAAUCUUCAAGUUUAUCCUAUCAAUGGAGGGUGGAAAUGUUGCAGGAGCAAGGCUUGGGCAAGGUGUCCUUGAUUCGGAGUAGAAUGACUUGCAUUUAUAGGUUUGGCAAUUGAUUUCCACACACUUCCAUUCAAAUGCCAAAAAUAGUAAUUCUAGUGUGCAUGCUUGCAUGGGAGUGUGAUAUGACCAUCAAAUGAUUGGAGUUGGUUCAAAGUUGUGCACAUGUGAUGCUGAAAGCUUAACAUGAGACCAUGCAAAUGUAUUUGAAAAUUGGCCAUGAAAAUCAUCCAAAUUGGGCCAUAAACUACACCCAUGCGCAAAUCCUUCAAAAAUGCUCCAAAUUCCAUGAUCUUAAACUCUCUGGAAAGGUAACAUGAAGCGGAAAACUUUGUUGUUAAAUAAUUUUCCAUUCGGAGCUUGGACCAUUAUGAAUUUUAAGGUGGAAGUUGGAGAAAUCAAACAUAGUUUAAAAUUUUCUAAUUUUAAAGUCAAAUCACCACUUUUUCCACCUUGAAUAACUUUUGCUAUAAGCUUCUAAUGAAAAUCAUUCCUUCUUCAAAGUUUUAUCUAUUUAAUUUAUCUUCAAUUUGGUAAGAAAUUUGUCACCAUUUGGAUCUUUCAUGAGGGAGUUAUGGAUUUUAGAAGUUAAGUAAAAUUGUUUGUUCAAUGAUGAUGGUCCAAAACGACCUAUAAUGUUUCCUCUUGGUACAUGGCCUUUCAAGUUGAAUUUUACAUUUCUCAAAUAAGAAAAGUUGGAUAAGACAUCUUGAAUUUGAUCAUGAAACUUGGAUGUUCUUCAUAUCAUAAAAAUUGAGCAAGGUAUGGUCUUUGGAAGUUGACCUCCUAACUAGGGCACAAACAAAAUGACAUAUAAUCUUUCACCAUAAAAAAUGACUUACCAAGAAAAAUUAGCUCUUGAUGCCAACAUGAAAGUUGUUUGAAAUUUCAUAAAUAGUAGUGUUUCUCUUGGAAUCAUUUUCAUAUGACAAAUAUUGUAGGGGAUAGGGGAUAUGGUACCCUAGAUUUGACUAGUUGACUUUCUCUAGUCAACCUCCUUGAACCAACUUGUAAACUUGAAGUUACAUUGAUCUUUGGGGAUCAUGGAGGAUAAGAUAUGCUUGAGAUGAUGUAUAAUGAAGUAUCCCAUAAUAUAUUUGACCAAUUUAUGAAGAAACUUAUUGAGGAAGUCACACAAGAUACCCUGAUUAAUUAGGGCUUCCAAGGCAAACAAGCUUCAAACUCUUGAUGAAUUCUUGAUCAAAAUGAGAAAUAAUGAACAUGGGGAUCUAUAUAUGAUGUUUAGAACCAUUUUUAACCUUUCCUUGAUUGAUCUCUUUGCAUUUAGGGUCUCAAACCCUAGAUGUGGUCUUGAUGGUGCACAUGUGAACUCACACACUACCUACAAAAGAAAUGAAGUCGCACUAGAUAUAUUUUUGGUAUUUUAAUUAGUAAACCAAAUAAAAAUAAAGUAUGAUACAAUAAAAUGUGCUUGGUGAUCUCUCCCAAUGCAAACGCAAUGAAUGAGGGGUGAGGAGGAUACCAAGGUGUGAUCCCAAAGUCAAUGCAAAUGAUGAGAUAACAUGAGGGAUCUUAGGGUUAAAAUUAGGGUCUUACACAGUCCACCAAGACAUUUUUUAUGGUUUUUAUUGUUAUUAACUAUUUUAAGGUCCUAAGACCACAAACAAAAUCACAAGCACACAAUAUAUACAAUCACAAGAUAUGGCUCAUGUGAGCAAAGUGAAAAUGACUGAAACAUAAACAAGUUGCAUGAAAUGUACAUGGCAAUGAAUGAUAAAGGUACCACAAUUUAAAUUUCAUUAAGUAAAUGACAUGAAAGUAACACAAUGUUAAUAAAAAGUUAGUAAAUUGUUAGUGAAUAGUUUAAUUUUUUAAGUUAUUCCUUGGAGAACACUCAACCAUCCGUUCACAAGUAUGAAGACAUGAACCAAGACAUCAGCCAUGAGAAGGGCUCCAACUUGGAUAAGUCAACAAGUAUGCCACUAGAUCUCAUGAAUGGAAAAAAGUUCAAGUCUUCACACAAUGCCAUGAAGAAUGGGAGACUUACAAUCUCACUUACUAGAAUGUUGUGCCUUGUGAGACAGAUUUAGCUCUAUGUUAAGCAAUCGUAAUUGGAUUAUGUACAAGUCACAACUAUCUAAGACCAGGCAAUAAUAAUAUUGGUGUUAAUGCAUUUUAGGUACAUGGUACAAAGAAUCAAGCUCCUAAAAUAUACCACACACAAAAAGUAAAAUGGGAAUGACCUAUCUCAAUCAGGCUCAUGUUGAUUCAUGUGACACAGGGUCAUUGAUGAAUCAACUAGCAUUUGACUUGUAGAGAAUUCAUUGGUCAAUGAUGGAUUGGGGAAGAAUAGGGAUGAAGAUGAAGAGUAGAUCAUAGGAGGAAUUUCAUCUGAUCAAUACUAUCCAUUCAUUUUGAGGGAUGAAAUGUACAUUUCAUCAACCCCCUAAAUCCAACAGUAUUGAUCAGAUAAAAUUUCAAAUCAACCAUGAUCAAGGCCAAACAGAAAGUCAAACAUCACAAGGUCAACCAAAUGGCUCAACAAUAUUUUUAAACAAUUAAACAAUUAAAAAUAAAUUUUAUAAUGAAGGAAAAUGCAUUUUUAAAUAGACAAAACCUCAAAUCGCAUCUGUAAUACCCUAAUUUUGACCCUAAGAUCCCUCAUGGAAUCAUAUCAUUGCACAUUGCAUUUGCCUCAAGGAUCAUAGCAUCUUGGCUCCUUGCCCUAGGGUGGGACUUGUGUGAGUUGGUUUGAGACCACCAAGCAUGCUUGAAUUGUAUAUUAUUGCUUUCCUUAUUCUGUUUACUAACCAAAAGCACAAAAAUAUGUCACUAACAUCUUUUGUUUUGAGCAAUCAUAAGAUCCAAGGCUCAUAGGAGACCCUAUGCUCAUUGAUGUGGCCAUGUGAAGGUGAAAGCAAGCAUGACAAUGGUUGACAAAUCUCUCAAUCAUCAUAUAUGCCUCCCAAGUAUCUCAAUUUGUCAAUUCGAUCAAGAUAAACCAAAGGGCUUGAGGAUUAUUUCCCAAGGAAACCCUAAUUCAACUGUGCAUUGACUGUGCCUUGCUCAUGAAGCAACCUCAACCCAUGAUCAAAUAGAAUCAAGGGAAGUUCUUUCAUUCAUCAUUUCAUGCAUAUUUGAGCUUAUUUGAGUGUCCUCAAUCAUCAAUUCAUCAAGAUUGGAAGUUUGGACUUGAGAAUUUGAUCAGUCAAUUCAUCUGACUAUUUUGAAAUCCACUGAGACCUAACUUUUAAUGUUUUUGUCAAAUGGAGAUAACCCCAAGAGAAACAAUGUUCUUAAGAACCAUAUGAACAACUUUCAUGUUCAUCAAAAAUCCAAAUGAUGCAAAAUUUAAGUCCAAAUUGAUUUUCUUGAAAAGAUAUACAACUUUGAUGUUGAAGGUUUUGUCAUUUGAGGCUUGCAUCAUUGAAACAGAAGGGCUUAAAGUUGGUCCAUUUUGGAAAAUUUCACAUGCACAUCUUUUGCACCUUAAACUUUAUGACCAAUUUUCAUUAAUUUCCCAAUUCCAAAUGGAUUUUUGUCCAACAUAACAAUUGUUCCUCAUGUCAAGACCUUUCCAACCAUUACCCACAAGGCCAUGUUUCACUUUGGUAAGAUGCAUUUUCGAAGAGGAGAACAUUUAUGUGCAUUUUUUGUAACAAUGAUGAAACUUCAUGCACACCCCAAUUCAAUUACAUUUGCACGUCCAAACCUGAUUGUUAUGACUUCAGCAUGCCAAAUCAUUUGCAUUUGGGCCUCCCAUACGCCUGUACAAGCCCAUUCAUGGAGGCCCUCACUUCAUGCACACAUGAAUUUUCCAUGCCUUGCAGCUUGCUUUGCUAUAAAUAGAGGUGUUCAACUCCACCAUUUCCCAACCUUAAGGCGCCUUAUAUGCUGCAGAAGUGAAUCCCCACACCCUACCAAAGGAAUUUUGCAUUUUCACUUCAAAUUUUCAGAUCCAAUUUUCAACUUCCUUGGUUGAUUAUUGGACUCUAAUUCCUUAGCCUUGCUCUAUCUCCAUCUCAAAAACACACUGCAAUCAAGAGUUAGAAGUGAUCGUGCUUCAUAGAGUUGCACUUCAAAGGUUGUUAUCCAAACUUUUUCAAUUCGAAACUCACUGAUUCUUGCUCAUUUCUUGUGUUUAUUGGCUUGUCUGAAAUCCUCUCAUAAGAGGCAAUUGAAUUAUGUGUUUAAUUUUGCAAAUCCAUCAAGUUCAGUUUGAACUCCAUGAUUUUCUCUCUCUGAUUUCUCUUUCUAUGAGAGUCUAGAGGAGGAACCAAUGGUACAGGGGUGAUGUACAUCACCCCAGCUUUCCAAUGAUAUGAGGAUCGCUUGUUUUGGUUGAGUUUUUAUCUCUUUCUAUGAGAGUCUAGAGGAGGAACCAAUGGUACAGGGGUGAUGUACAUCACCCCAGCUUUCCAAUGAUAUGAGGAUCGCUUGUUUUGGUUGAGUUUUUCAUACCUGCAACUUUCACCGGAGUUGAUGCACUCGCCGGAGAAGACAGUGGUGUACACUACCGUCUCUGUUGCUAGAUCUCAUGUGGACCGUUGGAUUGUGAUUCCAGUUUAAAUCGUGGCCCUUGGAUGUUAUGACCUUUUUAAUUCAUUGUGUUGCUCAGUUGACUAGAGCCCAUCGUGCACGCACAUCUCUCCUCCCUUGGAUGUGCCACCUCAAUUAAUGAGGUUGAUCCAACGCGCCUGGAUUUUUUGCUUUUCUGAUUUUUCUAUUUUAUUUUCCAUUAUUUCAUUUUAAUUCAAAAAAUCAUAUCUCUUUCAUUUUAAAUCCAAAAAAUAUGGGACCAAUUGCAUUAUUUCCCUUUUUAAUUCUAGUUUCUGAAAAUGAUUUUUAAUAUUUUUUAUUUUGUCAUUUGAUAUUUUUUAUCAUAUCUCUUUCAUUUUAAAUCCAAAAAAUAUGGGACCAAUUGCAUUAUUUCCCUUUUUAAUUCUAGUUUCUGAAAAUGAUUUUUAAUAUUUUUUAUUUUGUCAUUUGAUAUUUUUUGUGAAUUUUCACUUUUCUGGUUAUUUUUAAUUCAUUUUAAAUAGUUUUCAAUAUUCAAAAAAUGCAAAAAUAUUUUCUUAGCCUCUUUGAAUGAUGAUGAAUCUAUGAAAAAUAUUCUCAUCAAUUUAUUAAUUGAUUUGAGAUUUAUUUGAGAUUUUAGUUCAAUUAGGUUAUUUUUAUUCAUUUUUAGUUGUUUAAAAAUAGUUUUUGGUUUCUAAAAAUGUUGGAAUUUUUUGUCAAACUUUGUUUGACCUUGUUGAACUUAGGAUGAUCCAUUUGGACUUUUCAAAGUUGAUUUGAAAUGGAUUUGAAGUUUGACCUUUGUUUGAUUAUUUUAAUUCAAGUAUUAUUUUAAUUUUCGAAAAUACCAAAAAUAUUUUAUUUGUUUUUUGACUUCUAAGCUUCAUUAUGCUUCUAUUUACCAUUGAUUGACUUUGAUUCUAUUCAUGUUUGAUCAAUGUGUGUUGGAUAUCUCAUUUGCAUUUCCAUUCAUGUACAUUCUUAUUCAUCUUCUUCUUUUUUUUCUUUUUUUGAUCAAUGGGUUAAAGAUUGGUGGUUAGCCUUGACAUAUGGGAGGCUUAACCUUCCUUGAUUCAAAUCUAAUUCACCUUGAUCAUAUAUCAAGUGAAUGGCUUUGCAUUAAGGAUAGGUUGCUUCUUGGUCAAGCAAAAAAACCUAGAUCAAUACAAGAUCAUUCUUCUUUUCUUUUGGCAUGGCAAGUUGUAGGAGCUUGGCUUACUAGUCAAGGUCUCUAACUUGUGUUUGUUGCCUAUAUUUUUAUUGACCGGCCUCAGAUAGAUGUGACUACUGUUAGAUUCCCAAAAGUGAUUAUUUGAGCUAUCAAAUGUGGGCAUAUUUCACUCCUUUUUGUUGCUAAAGUGUUCGAAACUGCCUUUGUUUUAGAUGAAUUGCAAUACAAUGUUAAACGAUCUUGGUACCUUUAAUUUGUGCGUUAUUGUGCAGGAAUUAGGCAUGAAAUAAUAGAAAAUGAAGGCACAAGAAAGUUGGCAAAGGGACCAAGAAAAGAAUGCAUUCAUCAGCAUGCUCGCUAGGCGAGUGCUGUGGCGAAGUGCUCGCUAGGCGAGCACCAAGCGAGCUGCUAGCGAGCAUUCCCAGAAUUUUACAGUAGCAAAGUCAGCAAACUCGCUAGGCGAGCAUCCAGCGAAGGUGGUAGCGAACACACCCAGACUUGGUCAAAAGCACAGCCAGCACUUACUCGCUAGGCGAGCACCUAGCGAGCUCCCAACGAGCAAUUCCAGUAGCAAAACCAUCUAAGCUCGCUGGAGCGAAGGUGGAAGCGUGGGCUUCGCCUAGCGAACACAUGAAAUAUGGCCAAGGAUAUUUCUCUGAGCGCAGGUUCCUCUGGUGCCUAUUUUGGGGCUCGCUAGGCGAACCAUUCUGCUCGCCUAGCGAGCAUGACAGCUCAGACAGCAGUACUAUAAGUAGCAGGGGCUACUUUUUGGAAGCCAUACUUUGUACUUUUUAAACUUAGCAUUUCUUAGAUAUUUUCCAGCAUUGCUCUAGAGAUAUUUUGUAACCUAGAAACACUUUUUCUUCAUUUUUCUUCAUCUCUUAACAAUAUUCCACAAAAAGAAGGUGGAUUCCCAUCCAAUCUCGAUUCUUCGACUUGGAUGUUGAUCAACCUUCAACCGAGACUUUUUGUACAAGCCACCAUGAAAAUGAGUGGCUAAGUUCUUCAUUUUGUCAAGGUUAGAUGUAGAUGAUCUUAAGCUUUGUGUGUAUAUGAGAUGAUCUUCAUUUGUAAACUCUUUAAUGAUGAAUAUAUGGUGAAAACUAUGUUUUAUCGAUAACUCUUUGUGUUGGUUUAUGAUCGAGAGAUGUUUACCAACUCUUUACCUAGGUUUUCAUCCAAUCUUAUUUGUUAGCUAGAGAUAGUAAUGAAUGAUUUUGUUCACCAUAAGGUUGAACCAAAAAUUUGUCAUUUUGAUAGAUUGUGUUAGAGAUAAACAAUGGAUCAUUUACCCUUUUGAGUGUUACACACAAUGAGAUAAACACAUUGGGAGGACUUUGUGAAAUAGUUUAUCAUCUAAAGGAGUUUAUGAGUCUUGUUGAUCGAACGUAUACAUGCAAAGUGAUCGUCGAACUCUAACUUUGACAAUCUUUCUCAAAUAGAAAAACCAAAACUUUUACCGCAUUUUCUUACACUUUUAUGCAAGCUACCGUGACCAAAACCAAAACCCCCUUGUUACUGCGAGUUAAGAAUUAAAACAACUGUCGAACGGCGACGAUAUCUCACAAUCCCUGUGGAUAUGAUAACAAAAACCCGAUACUUAAAAUUACUACAUUCAACAAAAUGGCGUCGUUGCCGGGGAUUGUAAAUUGAUAUUGCGAGCAUCGCAAUAGUUGCUAGAUUUUUAGCUUUUGAAUUUUUUGACUUGUGCUUGUAAUUUGUUUGGUUUAGUGUGCAGCUUUCGUUUUAUGCGAGGGCAGGUUCCCGAGGACGAACUUCUUUUUGAUCCAGAGAUUGAAAGAACUGCAAGGAGACUGAAUAGCAGAACGAGACAAAGGAGGCAGCAAGCUAGACAACGACAAGAACAAGGAGAAAGUUCUUCUACAACACAUCCACCACCUUUCACACCUAUCAUGGAUCAACCACCACAACCACCGCCCAUUUCCACACCAUGUGUAAACAGUUCCAAGGAAUACUUCUCAGUUUGCCAACCACACGGGAAGGCAAGCCGAGAUGAAAACGGGAACUCUUAACUUGCUAUAUGGAAGUCCAUUCACCGGAAUGGACCAUGAAGAUCCCUUUGCUUUUCUCACCAAAUUUUAUGAGAUAGCAUUGGCGGCCGGAGUUGAUCAAGCUCAAGAGCUACUGUUGUUCAAAAGAUUAUUUCCCCAUGCUUUGCUCGGCAAAGCGAAAGAUUGGUACUUGGAUCAAACACCUGCAUUCAUGACGGAUUGGAACGUGUUGGAAGAGAAGUUCAUUGAAAGAUUUUUCUCCCACAACCGUUUCAUGGAAUCCAAAACGGCAAUCUCCGUGUUUUCACAAGGGACCAACGAAUCAUUGAAUGAAGCAUCGGAAAGAUUUAAAUCCAUGCUUCAGAAGUGCAAAGGGCACGGUUUCGACGAAUUGACUCAAAUCCACAUUUUCAAAAAUGGCCUUCAACCAAAUUGCAAGACUUUGCUGGAUGCUACCUCGGGUGGUUAUUUGUUGUCUAAAGCGCCGAAGAAGCCACUGAUAUCAUUAACCGAAUGGCUCUAAAUGACCUCCAAAGUCAAAGUAGAGGCAACUCUUCGAAGAAACCGGGAGUGCUUGAACUUGGGACGAACGAUGCCAUUCUUGCCCAAAACAAACUCAUUUCCCAACAAGUUGAACUCUUAACUCAACAAAUAAAAGAGUUGAGAGAGCCUUCAAAAGCUAAACAAAUAGCUUGUUGUGAGCUUUGCAAAGGUGAGCAUGACACCGGGUUUUGUCCACCUCCCGGGUUCGAAGAAGUAAAUUACAUGGCGAACCAACGAGACUACCAACCGAGGCAACAACAACAACAACCGUAUCAACCACAUCCUCCAAAUCAACAACAACACUUUCAAGGGAAUCAAGGGUUCCAACCAAGGAGUAACUAUUACCAUAACCAAGGUUAUGGGGGUGGUUCUUCUAGCCAUCAACACCCUCCCCAAAAUCCUUACCAACCUCAACGACCGCCGGUCGUAACUUCAAAGUUGGAAGAGACAUUGACACAAUUUAUGCAAAUGUCGAUGGCUAAUCAAAAGAGCAACGAUGCGGCAAUCAAAAAUCUCGAAACUCAAGUCGGUCAACUUGCUAAGCAACUAACGGAACAACAACCUGGACCAUCUUUUUCGGCGAACACGCAAACGAAUCCUAAAGAGCAUUGUAAAGCGAUAACGACGAGAAGUGGAAGGGAGUUGAUUAGUGAGAGUGAAAAGAGAGAUGAGAGUAAAAAAAAGAGGAUGAAGAAAAUGAUGAGGAGAAAAUAAUCGAGGAUAGUAUUGAUGGUGAAGUUGGGGAGUGGAGUGAGGAAGAAGUUGAAAAGAAUGAAAAAAAUGGUGAAGUUGAAAAUAAAGAAAGUGUGGAAAUUGAGAAAAAUAAGAGUGAUGAAGUGAUGGAGAGGAAGAAGUUGAAAAGAAUGAAAAAAAUGGUGAAGUUGAAAAUAAAGAAAGUGUGGAAAUUGAGAAAAAUAAGAGUGAUGAAGUGAUGGUGGAGGAAGUGAAAAAGAAAAGAGCGAGAAGUUCUACAGUUGCUAAAGGAAAGGAGGUAGUGAGCGCUACUCCAAUCCAAAACCUUCCGUAUCCACAUGCUCCAUCUAAAAGGGAGAAUGAACGACAUUACGCCCGGUUCAUGGAUAUUUUCAAACAACUGCAAGUGAACAUUCCAUUUGCCGAAGCAUUGGAGAAAAUGCCAAAGUAUGCAAAAUUCAUGAAAGACAUACUUACUAAAAAGCGGAGGUAUACGGAACCGGAGACCAUUGUCCUAGAUGCGAGUUGUAGUGCAAUCAUUCAACGAACGCUUCCAAAAAAAGAGGUUAAUUCGGGACGAGUUACUUUGCCGGUUAAAAUUGGUGAUGUCUAUGUCGGAAAAGGACUAAUUGAUUUAGGGUCAAACAUUAAUCUAAUACCAUUGUCUAUUGUUAAGAGGCUUGGCAACAUUGAAAUCAAGGCCAUCCGGAUGACGUUGCAAUUGGCCGAUAAGUCGACUACCCAUCCUCAUGGCGUAGCCCAAGAUGUGUUGGUCAAAGUUGACAAAUUUUUCUUCCCGGUUGACUUCAUUGUGAUUGAUAUGGAAGAGGACGACGAUGCUCCGCUCAUUCUUGGCCGACCGUUCAUGAAAACCGCACGCAUGAUGAUAGACGUUGAAUAGACGUUGACGACGGUUUGAUGAAGGUAAGGGUCCAAAAUGAAGAAGUUACUUUCGAUCUAUUCGAAGCCAUGAAGCAUUCAAAGGAUAGAAGUGAUAGCUUUCGCAUUGAUGUGAUCGAAGAGGAAACUAUUGAGGUUUCUAAACAUAUUCAUGAGAUAGACCCUAUGGAGUUAGCUCUUGAUGACUCCUUCGAAGUUUUCACAAUUGAAGAAGAGCAAGCUCUUGAUGAAUGCCUAAGGGAACUUGAUAGUCUAGAAGAGUUACAUCCGUGGGAAGUUGAGGAGGAAGUAUUGAAGAAGGAGGUUAAUGAAGAAAAAUCGCCGAUUGAAUUGAAAUUGUUACCUUCUACUUUGAAGUAUGUAUUCCUAGAUGAGACCGAAGCAAAGUCGGUUAUCAUAAGCAAUCUUUUGACAAAGAAUGAAGAAGCCCGUUUGAUCAAUGUGUUGAAAAAAAAUCAAGAAGCCAUGGGUUGGACUCUUUCCGAUCUCAAAGGAAUUAGUCCUUCCUAUUGCAUGCACAAGAUCUUAAUGGAAGAGGAUUUUAAGCUGGUAGCUCAACCACAACGCCGCUUAAAUCCUACUAUGAAGGAAGUUGUUAGAAAGGGAGUUGUUAAGUUGUUGGAUGCGGGAAUGAUCUACCCGAUUUCGGAUAGCCAAUGGGUUAGUCCUGUGCAUGUGGUUCCGAAGAAAGGUGGCAUUAUCGUGAUUCGAAAUGAAAAAGAUGAGUUGAUCCCGACAAAAGUGGCAACGGGGUGGCGAAUGUGCAUUGAUUAUAGGCGGUUGAAUACCGCAACUCGAAAAGAUCACUUUCCACUCCCGUUCAUGGAUCAAAUGCUAGAAAGACUUUCGGGGCAACAAUACUAUUGUUUCUUAGAUGGCUAUUCCGGGUAUAACCAAAUUGCGGUUGACCCGACCGAUCUUGAAAAGACGGCUUUCACAUGUCCUUUUGGAAUUUUCGCAUACCGUAAAAUGCCAUUUGGGUUGUGCAAUGCACCGACGACUUUCCAAAGAUGUGUGCAAGCUAUUUUUGCCGACCUUAUCGAGAAAACAAUGGAAGUCUUUAUGGAUGACUUCUCAGUAUUUGGUGGUUCCUUUAGUCUAUGCUUGGCAAACUUGGAAACGGUUCUUGAAAGAUGUGUGAAGACCAAUCUUGUUCUUAAUUGGGAGAAGUGCCACUUCAUGGUGACCGAGGGGAUAAUGCUUGGCCAUAAAGUCUCUUCAAGAGGGCUUGAAGUUGAUCGUGCUAGGGUUGAAGUGAUUGAAAAGUUAUUUCCUCCGGGGAAUGUGAAGGGAAUCCUAAGCUUUCUAGGGCAUGCCGGUUUCUAUCGGCGCUUUAUCAAAGACUUCUCAAAGGUAGCUAAGCCUUUGAGUAACUUGCUAGCUAAGGAUCAGGUAUUUCUUUUAACCGAUGAAUGUUUGCAAGCUUUUGAGAUUUUAAAAGAAAAAUUGGUUAUCGCUCCAAUUAUAGUCGCUCCAAAUUAGAAUCUAAAUUUUGAGCUCAUGUGUGAUGCGAGCGACUAUGAAAUCGGAGCGGUAUUAGGCCAAAGAAAAAAGAAAAAUUUUCAUGCGAUACAUUACGCAGGUAAAUUUCUUAAUGAGGCUCAAAUUAACUAUGCCACCACUGAAAAAGAAUUACUGGCCAUAGUGUAUGCACUUGAAAAGUUUAGGUCUUAUCUUAUAGGGUCCAAAGUCGUAGUGUGUACCGACCACUCGGCGAUUAAAUAUUUGCUCACCAAACCGAACUCGAAGCAAAGGCUGAUCCGUUGGAUCCUCUUGUUGCAAGAAUUUGACGUUGAAAUCAAAGACAAGAAAGGAUCGGAAAAUUUGGUGGCGGAUCAUUUAUCUCGCUUAGUUAAUAUGGAGGUUACCGCUUCAGAGAAGGAAAUCCGGGAAGAGUUUCCUGAUGAAAAACUUUUCAAAAAAACUUUUCAAAAUUCAAGUUAGGCCGUGGUUUGCAGACUUUGCGAACCACAAGGCUAGUGGUUUUGUGCCUCCCGACCUAACUUCGAACCAAAAAAGGAAGUUUCUUUCGGAUGCCAAGUACUAUGUAUGGGAUGACCCAUACUUGUUUAAGUUGGGUAGUGAUAACCUUUUAAGGAGAUGCGUUACUGGCGAUGAAGCGCAGAGCAUCCUUUGGGAUUGUCACAACUCGCCUUACGGCGGACACUAUAAUGGGGUAAGAACGGCCACUAAAGUCCUUCAGUCAGGAUUUUAUUGGCCCACUAUUUUCAAAGACGCACAUGCUCAUGCGCAAAGUUGUGAUAGUUGCCAGAGAAGUGGUGGGAUUGGUAAGAGAGACGAGAUGCCUCUCGAAAACAUCCAAGAGGUUGAAGUAUUUGAUUGUUAGGGCAUCGAUUUUGUAGGACUAUUCCCACCUUCUUAUGGUAACGAGUAUAUGCUUGUCGUAGUUGAUUACGUUUCUAAGUGGGUUGAGGCGAUUGCCUCACCUCGGGCGGAUGCGAAAACGGUAAUAAUUUUUUUGAAGAAAAACAUAUUUUCCCGUUUCGGAACCCCCCGAGUGUUGAUUAGUGACGGAGGGUCACACUUUUGUAAUGCACCGUUNNNNNNNNNNNNNNNNNNNNNNNNNNNNNNNNNNNNNNNNNNNNNNNNNNNNNNNNNNNNNNNNNNNNNNNNNNNNNNNNNNNNNNNNNNNNNNNNNNNNNNNNNNNNNNNNNNNNNNNNNNNNNNNNNNNNNNNNNNNNNNNNNNNNNNNNNNNNNNNNNNNNNNNNNNNNNNNNNNNNNNNNNNNNNNNNNNNNNNNNNNNNNNNNNNNNNNNNNNNNNNNNNNNNNNNNNNNNNNNNNNNNNNNNNNNNNNNNNNNNNNNNNNNNNNNNNNNNNNNNNNNNNNNNNNNNNNNNNNNNNNNNNNNNNNNNNNNNNNNNNNNNNNNNNNNNNNNNNNNNNNNNNNNNNNNNNNNNNNNNNNNNNNNNNNNNNNNNNNNNNNNNNNNNNNNNNNNNNNNNNNNNNNNNNNNNNNNNNNNNNNNNNNNNNNNNNNNNNNNNNNNNNNNNNNNNNNNNNNNNNNNNNNNNNNNNNNNNNNNNNNNNNNNNNNNNNNNNNNNNNNNNNNNNNNNNNNNNNNNNNNNNNNNNNNNNNNNNNNNNNNNNNNNNNNNNNNNNNNNNNNNNNNNNNNNNNNNNNNNNNNNNNNNNNNNNNNNNNNNNNNNNNNNNNNNNNNNNNNNNNNNNNNNNNNNNNNNNNNNNNNNNNNNNNNNNNNNNNNNNNNNNNNNNNNNNNNNNNNNNNNNNNNNNNNNNNNNNNNNNNNNNNNNNNNNNNNNNNNNNNNNNNNNNNNNNNNNNNNNNNNNNNNNNNNNNNNNNNNNNNNNNNNNNNNNNNNNNNNNNNNNNNNNNNNNNNNNNNNNNNNNNNNNNNNNNNNNNNNNNNNNNNNNNNNNNNNNNNNNNNNNNNNNNNNNNNNNNNNNNNNNNNNNNNNNNNNNNNNNNNNNNNNNNNNNNNNNNNNNNNNNNNNNNNNNNNNNNNNNNNNNNNNNNNNNNNNNNNNNNNNNNNNNNNNNNNNNNNNNNNNNNNNNNNUCUAAUCGUGAGAUUAAGAGAAUUCUCGAAAAAACUGUGUCAAAUUCGAAAAAAGAGUGGUCACAAAAAUUGGAUGAAGCGUUAUGGGCAUACCGUACCGCCUUUAAAGCUCCAAUUGGCCUAACUCCUUUUCAAUUGGUGUUUGGUAAAACUUGCCAUUUGCCGGUCGAAUUGGAGCACAAAGCCUUGUGGGCUCUGAAAUUUUUAAAUUUUGAAAAGGAUUUGGCCGGUGAGAAAAGGAAAGUGCAACUGCUCGAGUUGGAAGAGAUGUGCAAUGCCGCAUAUCACUCGAGUUGGUUGUAUAAAGAAAAGGUAAAAAAAUAUCAUGACAAAAAGCUUCGAAAGAAAGAAUUUGUGCCCGGACAGUUGGUCCUAUUGUUCAAUUCCAGGUUGAAGCUAUUCCCUGGAAAAUUGAAAUCAAAAUGGUCCGGGCCAUUUCGGGUCAAAGAAGUCAAGGAAUAUGGAGCUAUUGUCAUUGAGGACAUGGACAAGAAGGAGAGUUGGAAGGUGAAUGGCCAAAGUUUGAAGGUUUAUCUCAGCGGUCAUGUGGAUCGCGAGAGCUGUGCUAUUUCCUUGGAUGCUCCUCUGUGAGCAUCGAACCGUCGAGCUCAUCCGACGUUAAACAAGCGCUUGUUGGGAGGCACCCCAACAUUGUAAGUAUUUAAAAGCUUUCUGUUGUGUGGUAUUGGGAUUCCAAUUGAUAAACCUUGCUGAAUGUGAUUUACCUGCUGUUAUGAAAAAAAACAAAUUGUUGUCAUGCUCGCUAGCUGCUCGCUAGGCGAAGGCAGUAGCGAGAUGAAUCGCUAUCUGCUCGCUAGGCGAAGCAGUAGCGAGCGCUGCGUGGCAGCACUUUAUUUCUGUUUCACAGGGCCACUCAUUUGGGCCCAAACACUUGUUAUUUCGUUUUUUUUAGUCUGAUAAAAGUAUCAAGCUUAUUCUCACUAGCACUCACAAACGCUCUCACAUUCAUUCUCACACAAACCCUAACAUUGCAUCCCUAACCUCCUGUGCAUUUCAAAUUCAACAGAUCUCAAAUCAGGUUUUCCCUUUCUUCAUUACUUUAUGUUUCCAAUUUGCUUGAAAUUUCUGAAUAUGUGACAUUUAGGGUGAAUUUGGUAUUGUGGGUAUCAUUAGGUUUUGCAUGUGGGUUUAGAAUUGCAUGUAUCUUAGAACGAUUCUUUGCAUGAUAAAUCAUUUUGUUUCUGAAAGGGAUACCAUGAGACUUAGGUUUUCUUGGAAUUUGGUUGUUAAACAUUUCAGAACCCAAAACCCGUAAGAUUCGCUAGCAUCUCGCUAGACGAAUCAGUGGCGAGCAUUCGCUGCCACUUCGCUAGGCGAACCUGUAGCGAAGCUUCGCUAGGUCAUCGCUAGGCGAAGCAGCAGCGACCAUGACAGUAGUUGGAAUUCUGUUUUGCUUUCUAAUCUGUUUUGUGUUUGUGUUGUUUCCUCUCUAUGUCUUUGCAAAUGGCAUCCAAGUCCAGCAUUUCGAAAAAAAGAAAGGUCGGGAGCACUUCCCGUACCGUGCCCAUACAGUUCGACACCGACAAAUUUGUCGGGGCAAAGCAAGCGGCUAGAUAUGUGGCUUUGGAAAAGUGAAAUUUUUUGCCAGAAAAGAGAUUUAUAAUCAACCCCGAAGGCACCUACCGUACAUUUGUCGGGUUGAUACAUAGCAAAAAGUGGGACCGGUUGAUAUCUCCCCUUGAGCAUUAUGACAUCGAAACAGUGCGUGAGUUCUACGCGAACGCACUGCCUAACGAUAAUGAGCCAUUCACAUGGACGACUAGAGUCUCCGGCCGUACUGUUGCUUUCGAUCGGGACACAAUUAACCGUGUCUUGGGUGAACCGCUCCAUCUGGGGGCAAAUGAGAGAGACACAUACCAUAGGGAUUUGAGGCUUCACCGGGAUACCGAUUCAAUUUCUGCUGCCCUGCUUUUUGAAGGGAAACCAGUUGAGCUGAACCCAUCUGGGGUUCCGAUGAGAUACCAUAGGGAGGACAUGAUUCCCUUGGCUCAAUUGAUCCUUAUGUUGGUUCUGACAAAUAUAAAACCCAAGUCUCACACCUUAACCGUGCCGAUCCCAGUGGCACACUUGGUUCACUGCAUUCUCACGAAUAUCCAAAUUGAUGUGGUGAGGAUAAUUGCUUUGGAGUUGAAGUCCGUGAUUGAGAGCGGGCUAAAGUUGGGGGCACGAGUAGAUUGUCCCCUUGCUUUCCCGUGUCUCAUCAUGGCUUUGUGCCAACAAGCGAGGGUGAAGCUACCCUCCAGGAGUCAAAUAACGAUCCCGCCAGCCAUCGAUGACAGAUACGUGGCCAAGUACUGCAAACCGAAGAACUUAAGAAGUAGUUCAGCUGCUGAGGUUACUGGGGCUUCUGAUGGUCCUGGUACUUUUGCUCAGGGAUCCGAUCCUUUCCAACAGGCUGUCUUCAACUAUAAUUGGGAUUGGAUGGCGGCAACUCAGCGCGCCAUGCUCGAUAUGCACGAUUUUAUGCAGUUGUUGCAGUUGCAGGUGCGUGACCCCUCCGGUGAGCAUUCAAUGAUGACACGUGAGCAGUUUCUGCAGCACGCUAGCUGGCCUGUGGACAUGCCUGUGUUCGGAGAGGGGGCGGGUGCUGGUGCAUCUGGUGUUGGUGCUUCUGGUGGUGCUGAGGAUGAAGGUGAUGAUGAUGAUGAUGAUAGUGAUGAUGCUACCGGUUCUGAGGCCGGUAAUGAUAAGGGUUCUGAGUCCUUUGGGGGCUAAGUUUGUUUUAUUUUUAUUGUAUUUUCAGAUUUGUAGUAUUUCGAUUUUUGUUAUGUACUUUUGGGGUGUUUUGUCCCCCACGCACAUUAUUUUUAAAAUUUUGAAGUAAUGUUAUAAUUUAUGUUUUAAAAUUUCUUUUGUUUGUUUGGUUUAAAUUUCUUUUGUUUUAAUAAAUUUUUGGUUGGUUGAGUGUCAAACCUUCUAGAUUGGUUGCUCCUCAAAGAAGUAUCCAAUGAAGGUGCAUCCGAGCUUGGAUGGCAAAUGAUAAAAAUAAACCAAGUGAAUAUGCUAAGGUACUGUUACCUCCACAGAUUUUAGAAUGCAUUAAGAACUUUACUCUUUUUUUGUAAUUGAAUAUUGUCUUUUUGCAACAUAUUGAAUGAAUGUUUCAUCUAGGGACUUUAAAACCACAAAAUGGUGAGGAAACCUCUAUUGUACACUUAAAUGUUGGAUUCUAAUAAGCUUGUUGAUUCAUUUGAUUCAUGCUUUGUCUUUUAAUUGUGAUAUGUGGAAGCAAUUAAGAAAUGAUCAAGGCCGCUUUUUCUAUCGAGCACAACCAAUUCCAAAUACAACUUAUCCGGGAGCAGAGAGAGUAUUCAUUAACCCUUUGAGCUUAACAGUUGAAUCUCAGCUUGAAAAUAAAGCGAGAUGUCAAAAAUCUUUUUUCUUGAAACCCGGAAAAUUUUGAUAAUUAUUCUUUUGCCGUAAAAAGUCAAGAGCAUUCACUUAGGGUGAGUAAGAAAUAAGUUGGGGAGAACGAAAAAGAGAAUCGGUAAGUGCCACAACUCUUGAAAAACCAAGCAAGCACUGAAAAUAAAAAAAAAAAUUAGAAAAGAGAAACAUUUGUUUUGUAAAUAUGAUGUGAAAGAAAAGAAAAAAUAGAGAAAAUGAAAAUGAAUGCUUGCUGGGAAGAAAAAUAGUGAAAAACAAAAAUUGAGUUGUGAAAUAAGAGUUAUGAAGGUUUCAAAUGAGAAACAAAAGGGAACGAAGUUGAGAUGUGUGAAUAGUGUACAGUGAAUGUCUCUUUUGCAUCGGAAAUUUCGUUUUCAAUGGCCUUAGAAAUGACCCUUGUUUGUAAACCUAACCAAGCUACAACCGGAAAGUCCUUAGUGAUCUUCGUGCUUCCGCAUUUUCAUUUAUAAUUGUUAGACAUUGUAUGAAUUGAAUUGAUUUCUUCAUUGUUUGUUGGAGAGAGAGAGAUUGUCCCCGCGGUUGCAAACGCGUAAUUUCUUCAAUCCUUAUUCGAAGAGGAGAGAUAGGGUGAUUCAUUAAUUGAUUUCUUCAUUGUUUGUUGGAGAGAGAGAGAUUGUCCCCGCGGUUGCAAACGCGUAAUUUCUUCAAUCCUUAUUCGAAGAGGAGAGAUAGGGUGAUUCAUUCAAGAUAAUAUUGUUGUGGAUAAAUACAUAUUUUGCAUUUCUAUUAAGUUUUAGUUUUUGUGUAUUAUGUUAUUCUAACCAUUGGGAAUUUGUAUCUGGUUUAUUCGCUUGUGUUUGAGCCGUUUUAUCCGACUUCGGAGAAACCUUUUUCUUUAAGCAAAUCAUCUUGUCCUUCAAGAGGCAUACUUUGCUUGAGGACAAGCAAGAAUCUAGUUGGGAGAGUUGUUAGAUGCCAAAAAGUGCUUAUUUGAGCUAUCAAAUGUGGGCAUCUUUCACUCCUUUUUGUUGCUAAAGUGUUUGAAACUGCCUUUGUUUUAGAUGAAUUGCAAUACAAUGUUAAACGAUAUUGGUACCUUUAAUUUAUGCGUUAUUGUGCAGGAAUUAGGCAUGAAAUAAUAGAAAAUGAAGGCACAAGAAAGUUGGCAAAGGGACUAAGAAAAUAAUGCAUUCAUCAGCAUGCUCGCUAGGCGAGUGCUGUGGCGAAGUGUUCGCUAGGCGAGCACCCAGCGAGCUGCUAGCGAGCAUUCCCAGAAUUUUAGAGUAGCAAAGUCAGCAAACUCGCUAGGCGAGCAUCCAGCGAAGGUGGUAGCGAACACGCCCAGACUUGGUCAAAAGCACAGUCAGCACUAAAUCGCUAGGCGAGCACCUAGCGAGCUCCCAACGAGCAAUUCCAGUAGCAAAACCAUCUAAGCUCGCUGGAGCGAAGGUGGAAGCGUGGGCUUCGCCUAGCGAACACAUGAAAUAUGGCGAAGGAUAUUUCUCUGGGCGCAGGUGCCUCUGGUGCCUACUUUGGGGCUCGCUAGGCGAACCAUUCUGCUCGCCUAGCGAGCAUGACAGCUCAGACAGCAGUACUAUAAGUAGCAGGGGCUACUUUUUGGAAGCCAUACUUUGUACUUUUUAAACUUAGCAUUUCUUAGAUAUUUUCCAGCAUUGCUCUAGAGAUAUUUUGAAACCUAGAAACACAUUUUCUUCAUUUUUCUUCAUCUCUUAACAAUAUUCCACAAAAAGAAGGUGGAUUCCCAUCCAAUCUCGAUUCUUCGACUUGGAUGUUGAUCAACCUUCAACCGAGACUUGUUGUACAAGCCCAUGAAAAUGAGUGGCUAAGUUCUUCAUUUGUCAAGGUUAGAUGAGUGAUCAUAAGCUUUGUGUAUAUGAGAUGAUCUUCAUUUGUAAACAUCUUUAAUGAUGAAUAUAUGGUGGAAAGUUUGUUUUAUCGAUAACUCUUUGUGUUGGUUUAUGAUCGAGAGAUGUUUACCAACUCUUUACCUAGGUUUUCAUCCAAUCUUUUUGUUAGCUUAGAGAUAGUAAUGAAUGAUUUUGUUCACAUAAGGUUGAACCAAAAGUUGUCAUUUUUGAUAGAUUGUGUUAGAAUAAACAAUGGAUCAAAAUGGGAAACUCACAAUGUGUGUUAGAGAUAAACACAUUGGAGGACUUUGUAAUAGUUUAUCAUCUAAAGAGUUAUGAGUCUUGUUGAUCGAACGUAUAAUGCAAAUGAUCGUCGACUUAACUUGACAAUCUUUCUAAAUAGAAAACCAAAACUUUUACCGCAUUUUCUUACACUUUUAUGCAAGCUACCGUGACUAAAACCAAAACCCCCUUGUUACUACGAGUUAAGAAUUAAAACAACUGUCGAACGGCGGCGAUAUCUCACAAUCCCUUUGCUCACUUGAGCUCAUGUUUAUGUUAAUGCAAUUUGCCUUUUGCUCACUUGAGCACAUAAUUGUGUAUAUACUAUUGUGCUUGUUUUGUUUUGAUUGUGUGAACAAAAUGAAAAUGGACAAAAGGACUUAGACUUUAGGAUAUUCCCUAUGCAAAAUGGAGUCAAAGAGCAACUAGGCCUCAUGCCUUUAGAAUGCUAUAAAAGAAUAAAAAUGUCAAAGAGCAACUAGGCCUCAUGCCUUUACAAUGCUUAAUCUGGAAGAGGACUUUGAAAGGACCAAAUUCUAAACUCACUCUUGUCCAUUCUUUCUAUUGCAUUGUGGAACUUUUUGAUUUGUGUGUUCUUGUGCAAGGGAUCCCAAACAUUGAGCCAAGUAGAAGAACCAUUGUCAUGAGCAUAUAAAGUGAGAGAUACAAAAGCCAUUGGAAGAUUCCUAGGAGCUUGCUUGCUUGAUUGUUUGCUUGAGUUAUUUGCUUAUUGCUUGCUAUUCCAAAGGAAAGGGAACAACUUGGAUCAUCGCUAUGAUCUCAAGAAGGGAACUCCAUUGUGGUUUAUUUUCUCCUCUUUCAUCUUUGCAUGUUUAGGACCUUAGCCAUUAUUCUUCUUCUCUCCACUCUAACCCAAGCCAAACUUUUGUGCAAAUAUUAACAUUGUUUUCAACAUUAGAAUCCUAAGCAUUAUGCUUUUGAUUUUCCAAACUUCUUUUCAUAACACUUAUUUUGAAUUGAAUUCUAGGUCAACAUUGACCUUACAUUGUAAAUACUUUUCAUUGGUAAAUACAAUUCACUUAAAUGUUUUUGUGGUUUCAGUGGCCACUCCUUGCCAAAGCUUUUCAUAAACAUUAGCUAUUAGGUUUGAGUUAUCCUUGAGGUUGAUAUAAUACUCACCUAUAUCCUUAGUGAUGGACCAUAAGACUUCCAUGCUUAUUAUAGGGUUAAGGUUGAUAUAAUACUCACCUAUAUCCUUAGUGAUGGACCAUAAGACUUCCAUGCUUAUUAUAGGGUUAACCCCUCACUAGCAUGUUGAAGCUCUCCUCACAUGGUGGAUUUGUGGUUUUAGGUUGACUUUUCUCCCUUUGAUAACAAAAGACCUUAAGGUUUUUCACCAAUUAAUUCACCAACUUCUUUUGAGAUUUUUACCCCGAACUAUGAGGUUUUGAUCCUAAUCUUUUUAAAGAUGGUACGUAGGCAAUGGGUUUAUCCAUUCAAACACAAAAUUGUAAAUAAUUUGUACAUUCUUCUCUCAUCUCCCCAAUCAUGUUUGCACAAAUAAUUUUCACAAAUACCAACCUACCUUACCACAAUUGUGAAAAGGGCUCCCUAGGAGUACCUAGGAUGUUUUGGGUGCUUAAAACCUUCCCAUUGCAUAACCAACCCCCUUACCCAGAUCUCUGACAUUUUUAUUAGUUUUUGAUUUGGUAAAACUUCUCGAUUUUUGUUCGCUUUCUAACCUUUCCUUUGGAUAAAUAGAAGUGCGGUGGCAACUCGAAUUGUAUGAUUUACUUUUGAUUUAGUUAAUAAAUCUAAAGGUAAUGAAUACCCCGCUACACCUUCAAAUCACCAAAUUAAUGGCCAAGGGAUUUAUCCUAGGUCAAACAAGGUCAAAUGACCUUAGACAAAAAAUUUAGAAUUUUUGGAAAGUCAUAAGUAUUUUAAAAUAUUUAAAAACAUGUCCAAAAUCAUUUAAUUCACAAAAAAUAUCAAAACUAAUCCUAAAAAUGAUUUUAAUUCAAAAUAUAGAAGAGGAAAAUAUUUAAAGAUUUUUGGUGAAAGUCCCAUACUUUUUGGAUUAAAAGUGAAUUUAUAAUGAAUUAAACAAAAUAAAAGGAUUAAACAUAAAAUCAGAAAUAAAAAUAAAACUAAGAAAAAACAAGGACCAUCAGAUCUGCCUCAUUAAUUGAGGUGGCAGAUCAGAUGGCCACGCGUGUGGAGUCCAUGGUGGACUCUGGUCAACACGCUGUAAAGUGAGUCAUUCAAACCAAGGGCCAAGAUUAUAACAUUUAAACGUGAUCAAAGGGAUGAGAUGAUGCCAACACACCACUGGAGUGAGGGCUCUAGUCAUCUUCUCCGGUGGACCUCACCGAACUGGUCCACCAUCAACCUUCACCAAAAUGAAAAGUGUAUAUGCUAUUUUGAAGAGAAAAUUGUCAGGAAUCCAAAUCUUCCCUCAAAACUCUCCAAUUCUUACUAUAUUGAAAGAUACGUAGAAUUGAAAAUUGAGGAGUAUGAACUGAGUUACUUUGAUUUGACCUCAAAGUAACUCAAUCUUGUUGCCUACAUUGGUAGAUCUCUAAACAACCAAAGAACAAGCAAAAUAGUGGAGAAUUGAGGGAGAAUCGAAGAAGAGAAAAAUCAGAAAAUUCACCUUUGGUUUGCUUUAAUUGAGCUUGAUCUUGCUUCCAAUUUGCUUUGGUUCGUCUCUAACAACUUGCAGGAAGUGAAAUGGAUUAUUAAAAGGCUUGGAUUCUUGGAGUUUCAAUUCCAAAACAGAAUGAGAAUUGAAACUCAAUUUCAAGAGAAAUCCUCAAGUUUAUCUUUUAAUGGAGGUUGAGGAAGAAGCACUGCAAAGCUUGGGCAAGAGGAAUCUCAUUAUGAGCUUAAGGAUCAUGUAUAUAUAGCCUACACAUUGCUUUCCACACCUUUUGAAAAUUUUCCAAAAAUAGCAAUACAAUGGUGCAUGCUUGCAUGGGCGUGUGCUAGGCCCAACGAAUGAUUGAAAUGAGUCCAAAAUCGUGCAUAAGUGAUGCUGAAACCUUAACAUGAGGCUAUGCAAUGUGGAAUGAAAAUUGGUCAUGAAAAUCUUCCAAAUGGGGCCAUGCAAUGCACCCAUAUGCAAGUCACUCAAAAAUGCUCCAAAUGCCAUGAUCUUGGACUCUUUGGAAAGGUAACAUGAAGGGUAGAAACUUUGCUGUUGAAACUCUUUCCAUUUGGAGCUUGGAUCAUGAAAAAGUUUAAGGUGGAAGUUGGAGAAAUCAAACAUAGUUGAAAAAUUUCUAAGUUAAAAGUCAAAUGAUCACUUUUUCCACCUUGAAUAACUUUUGCGAUAAGCUUCAAAUGAAAAUGGUUACUUAUUAAAAGUUUUAGAUAUUUCAUUCCUUUUUAAUUUGAGCACAAAUUUGACACCAUUUGAAUCUUGCAUGAGGGAGUUAUGGAUUUUAGAAGUUGAGGAAAAAUGCUUGUUCAAUGAUGAUGGCCCAAAAUGACCUAUAAUGUUUCAUUUUGGUACAUGCCCUUGCAAAUAGAUUUUGAAAUUUACCGAAGAAUAAAAGUUGGAGAAUACAUCUUGAAAUUAAUCAUGAAACUUGGAUGGUAUUCAUAUCAGAAAAAUUUAGCAAGUUAUGGUUCUCGGAAGUUGACCUUCUAUCUAGGGCACAAACAAAAUGACCUAUAAUAUUUCACCAUAAAAAUGACUUUCCAAGCAAACUUAGCUCUUGAUGCCAACAUGAAAUUUGUUUGGAAUGUCAUAAAGAGUAACGUUUCUCUUGGAAUAAUUUUCAUAUGACAAAACUUGAAGGAUACAGGGUCUAGGGAAGCCUAGAUUUGACCAGUUGACUUUCUCUAGUCAACCUCUUUGAACCAUCUUGCAAACUUGAAGUUCUUUUUAUCUUUGGGUCUCAUGGAGAAUCAUAUAUGCUUGAGAUGAUGUACAAUGAAGUAUACUUUGAAAUCUUUGACCAAUUGAUGAAGAAACUGGCUGAGGAAGUCAUACAAGAUACCUAGAUGAAUUAGGGCUUCCAAGGAAAACAAACUUCAAACCUUUGAUGAAUUCUUGAUCAAAUUGACAAAUAAAGUACAUGGGGAUCCAUAUAUGAUGCUUAGAACCAUGGUGAACCUUUCCUUGAUUGAUCUCUUUCAUUGAGGGAGUCAAGCCCUAGAUAUGAGCUUGAUAGGGCACAAAUGGAUGCACACACUACCUACAAAAGAAAUGAAACUAUACUAGACAUAUUUUUGGUAUUUUGGUUAGUAAACAAAAGAAAAUAAAGUAUGAUACAUUAAAAUGUGUUUGGUGAUAUCUCCCAAUGCAAACCCAAUGAAUGAGGGGUAAGGAGGAUACCAAGGUGUGAUCCCAAAGCCAAUGCAAAUGAUGAGAUAGUAUGAGGGAUCUUAAGGUUAAAAUUUGGGUCUUACAGUUACCACUGUCAUCAACAGGACGAAUGUAGCCAUAAACUACCAUAUAUCAUAUAUCCACAUCAUGACCAAGAAAAAUACUUUCUAUUUUAUCAUUCCAAUAGUCAAAAUUUUAUCCAUUAAAGACUGAAGUUUUGGCACGAUAAUGGUCUCUUUCAUUGUUACUAGCGGGUGCAGUUGGUGGAGGAAUUUCUGCCAGAAUGUUUCAAAAGUCUGGAUCUUUAUCUAACACAAUGAAGUGUUGGAUACACAAUCAAUACCAGAACCAGAGCUCUGAUUCUAAUUUAACGUAAUGGAAACACAAGAAAGGGGGUUUGAAUUGGGUUUCAAGAAAUAUAACUUUUGCAACCCAAAGAUGCAAAUAGAAAACUAAGAACAAAAAUAAUGAACUCGAUUAUUUUUAUCAUGGUUUGCUAUUAACAAGGUGAUUUCGCCUUAUCACAAGGACUUAAUCCACUAUAAUCAAACUUGAUUACAACAAAAAGACCAACUGUCAAUGUCUUUCUGAGUAAUUCUGACUAAAUCCUAGUCACUCAAGAAAAUACAAUCACAAAGAUUGAGAUGCAAAAUGUGUUUACAAAAUGCUUCUGAGAAAGAAAAAUACACAAAUGAAUUACAAGUAUAGCACAUAAAAUAUAUAUUCUAUGAUGAGUAUGAACAAAAAUUCAUUGUGUGUAUGUUUCUUUUCUUUUCUCUCAAAAUAUUUCAUAAAACUCAUUAUUCAUGUAUAUGUUAAUCUCUUAGAGUGUAGCACAAUUCAAUUCUUCCAAGUCUUCUUUAUAUAGGCAAGGAAGAGAUCCAUUGGAGGGUAAAAUUGGAAUACUUAAAUGCAAUUGUAUCUUUGCAUAACGGUCUGUGAAAAUGAGAGACAAAAUGAUACAAUAGUCAGUCCUUAGUCCACAAAAUCAUUGUAGUGGAUGAAUAUUUGAUCUUGUACUGUGUACUAUUUUCUCACGUAAAACCUUUUUGAUCUUAUCUUCAAUUUUCAGAGGCUUCUGAUAAAGAGGUAAUGAAGCAUGUAUAGAAGGAAGAAUAAGAGUCUGGUUGAGAGAAUCUUCAGAAACUUUGUCUUCAGAGUCUUGAUCCAGUUCAUCAGAACAUGGUCUUUAGAGUCUGGUGACACAAUUCAUCCGAAUUUUUUAAGCGCACGACUCCAGAGCUUGACAACGUCAAAAUCGGACUUAUGAAAUGAAAGUUAUGACCAAAAUCGUCGGGAUGUGUCAACAAUUCAUUAACCGAACGUAAGAACAAAAACUUCACCAACACAGUAGGCAUAGGAAUAAUAUUCAAUCAAUUCACUUAUCACCAUCACAUUAUAUCUCUUAGAGUCACCUUUCUAAUGCUUUAAACCCCAACCCAAAAUGAUUCACGAGUUGAAAGUUAUAAUCAAAACCGUGCACGAAGGCGUUACUAAAAAGUUGUUAUUUUCUAAAUUUUCCGACAUAAUUUUCAUCUUUUUCAACCCCAAAAACGUCCAUGAAAUAAUCUCCAAAAUUAUUUUAUUCCUGAAACAAAGUUAUAGCCCUCUGUUUCAGAUAUCCAACGCUUCAAACGACACUCGAUUUAGACUUACGGAUCAAAAGUUAUGGCCAAAACGAUUUCGAUCAAAAAACACAAUAAAAUGCUCGUGAUUGUGAGAGACAGAAUGCAUAAUUUUCUGCGUUUUUCAUCGUUGGAGGCCUUCCGGGUCUCCGAUUUCGAUUCCGUAAAAAGCUAAACAUUCAGUAAAUUACAACCCAUGCAAUACUAUAAUUAUCUAAUAAUUUACAGUUUUAACACAAUUAAAUCAUCUAAUCACUGUUUCAAGAUUAUGCCUGAAACCUUCAAAAUUGCAACAAUGGUGAAUAUAAGUUCAAUCAUCAAAAUAGAAAAUUACACACAUAUAAGACACAUGACAUUUAUCAUAUAAUCAUCAUGGCAUCCAAAUUCAAAAUUAUGAAUCAAAACACUCAACCUUAAGGAGGUUAAGGGUUCCUCCAUUCUAUCAUUCUAUCAUACCCUUUACUAUUGGAACAAGUUCUCACCCUUACCUUAGAUUUUCCAACAAGAUGCACACUUCAAGCUCUAACAAUGGAGUUUUCUUUUAGCCAUAUCUCUUCCCUCUUCUCACCACAAAAUUCUAUUUUACGUAAAACCCUCCAAACUCUCUUACUAACCUUUUUAUCAUUAACCUAAUCCCCCUCAAUUAGGAACUUCCACCAUUGCCCUCACUUAUCAUAUUAUUUACCACCAUAUCCCUUUUGACUCUAAUUUUCUUUUAAUAAAAUAAUACUAAUAAUAUUCUUCUUUUUCUCGAUCGUAUUUCUACUCUUUUAUUUUAUUCCAAUCAAUUAAAUAAAAUAGUUAUAGGUUAAUUAUUAAAAAUUCUCAUUAUCCCCAUUAAAUAAGUAAAAUAAUUAAAUUUCAUUAUUUAAUUAAGAUGCUCAUAUUCUAGUUAUUUAAUUAAAUAAAAUAGUUAUAGGUUAAUUAUUAAAAAUUCUCAUUAUCCCCAUUAAAUAAGUAAAAUAAUUAAAUUUCAUUAUUUAAUUAAGAUGCUCAUAUUCUAGUUAUUUUUAUUUAUUUAUUUAAUUAAUUCAAAUAAUACACUAUUUAUUUCAAUCACUAAUUAAAAUUCUAAUUAAUUAUCAACAACUAUACCAAAUUCUUAUUGCCUCCAUACUUCUAUUUCAAGGAUACCUACCCCCACAAUCAUACACAAUUAAUUUAAAACACACAUUAAUCAUAUAAAAAUCUAAAUAAUUCAAAUUAAUUAAUUAAUUAAAUUCGGGGUGUUACAGGUGACACAAUUCAUCAGAAUUUUUUAAGCGCACGACUUCAGAGCUGAACAAUGUCAAAAUCUUCUGAGUCAUAAAGCUUUGGAUAAACUAUGUUCAGAAGCGUUGAGUACAGAAUCCAAAGCUUGUUUAUCUUGUAGAACACACAUCUUAGAGUCAAAGUGCACUAGGUUCAGAAUCUGAUGUUGUCACACAUCAUUCUAUCAAAGUCAAAACUCAUCUAGUAUUUGCACACUAAACAAAACCAUUAAGAUACAAAAUUGUUCUCUAAAAAUCUAUGUAUUGUUAUUACCAAAACAUAAAGUUAGAUGCAGAACCAAAUCUUAUUCUUAUAAAAUUACCAUAAUUUUAUUUUAUUGAAAUUUAUAAUAUAUCCUUCUCUUGACAAUGUGUGGUCCAAAUUUUUUUUUCCAAUAAUUGAAAAAUACUAUUAGUUUUUUAGAUUAUUUUUUUUUUCUUUUUUCUAGACUAAAGAGGAUAUUCAUUACUAAACUAAUAUAUAAGUGUUCACAGGGACCAAGUUACUCAUUCAUCUUCUUUCUCAUAGUCCAUCAUUUGUGAUAUUAGUUCUAACAAUGUUAUCACUAGUACUUCUCCUUGCUAUAGGUGCUUAAUUCUCUCUCCUAAUCUCUCCGCUAAAACACAAAACCACUAAACAUUUUCCACCUGGUCCUAAAGGCCUUCCCAUAAUAGGAAAUCUUCACCAACUAGACCUCCUUAAUAUUAGUGUUCAACUUGCAGACUUUUCAAAAAUAUAUGGUCCUAUAUUUUCACUUAAACUUGGUUCAAGACAAGCUAUUGUAGUUUCUUCAUCUGAAAUUGCCAAAGAAAUUUUUAAAAAAAAUGACCAUACGUUUUCUGACAGACCUCAAUUAUAUAGCCAACAAAAAUUAUCUUAUAACGGAUCAGAAGUUUUAUUUUCACAAUACAAUGAAUCUUGGAGAGAUAUAAGAAAAAUUUGUGUUAUUCAUAUUUUUAGUUCCAUACGUGUAGCAUAUUAUUCUUCCAUAAGAAACUUUGAGGUGAGGAAACUGAUUAAAAAAAUAUCAGAAAAUGCUAAUUCUUCAAGUGUUACAAAUAUGAGUGAGGUAUUGAUAUCUCUUGCAAGUUCUCUAAUAUGUAACAUUGCUUUUGGAAAAACCUUUGAAAAUGAAGGACCUGAGAGUAGUAGUAGGUUUCCUGAAAUGUUGCAUGAGUUUCAAGCUUUGCUAGCAGAAACUUUUGUUGCUGAUUAUAUUCCAUUUACGGGUUGGAUUGAUAAAGCGAGAGGAUUGCAUGGUCGUCUUGAUAAAAUUUACAAGGAGUUUGAUAAGUUUUAUCAAGAGAUUAUUGAUGAACAUUUGGAUCCAAA